This 57283-nucleotide long non-coding RNA is filed under the name Pelobates cultripes (western spadefoot toad). The record is from RNAcentral. Lineage: Eukaryota; Metazoa; Chordata; Amphibia; Anura; Pelobatidae.
UGACAGGACUACCUACACUUCUGAGGAAGACCAGCCGGGUGAAACGCGUAAAGUGUUGGUACUGGAAGAAUUUACUCCCUAUAUAUAUAUAUAUAUAUAUAUAUAUAUAUUAUUAAAAAUAAUGUAUUUAUUAUUUUAAAGGUAUAUUUCCAUUUUAUUACAUAUUUUACUUUUUAUCAUCAUAUUCCUGUCAUCAUCUCCUGGUGUAUCCAGCAUAUUCAAGGUGGGGAUAAUACCACCAACGCUCUUCAUACCAGAGCAGGCCGUUGCUCUGCAUAUUGUAAGUAGGAUACCACUUUUUAUCCUUUACUUUGUGUAUAUACAUACUAUACCAUAAGACCUUUCUCAUAUAUACUGGACGGAAAGAACUACCAAGCAAAGCCACAAAUAUCCAUAGACGGGAAUUGUACCGUCCAGGCGCAUUACAGCAGAGCUCAUAGCAGCUCUAUCUAUUGUGAGUUUACACACUAUAUUUAUACCUCAAAUAGUUUAAAUGACUGUUACAUAUUUUACUAUUUUUUUGCCCAUUUUUGUUUUCUUCAACGUUACAGAAACCAUCCUACCUCAGCGUAUGUAGAUUGAACCAACUGAUGUAAUUAUAUUUUCCAUGUUAUUUUUGCUAUAUCUUAUUGCUUUUUGGGGCGUGGUCUAUCACCUUGCUUGUUGUUAUCUGUUUUGUCAGUGAGAUUUUGGGAAUUCUCACAGAUUUACUGCUGCCCACCCAACUACCUUGGCUAUAGUGAGCGCUUACUCCUAUAUCUAUAUGUAACCAACCUUAGCUGGCAACCAACCGCGCGUCCAAUUAGGGACAUUGGAAGCAGAACGAAAAACCCCCGCCGAGUAAUGCGAAUGAUACCGUGGGACACAGAGGCUCUAUACGGCCAUUGGGACUCCGUGCCCGUGUUACCGCCUAACCCUGCGAUCAGCAUAAGCCAGGAAGCUAUCGUGAAAGGAGGUUUGCUUACUGUAGCAGAACCACGAGACAAUGCACAUGUAAAUGAAAAAUAUAUCAAAACGUACUGACAUCACUGUAAGUCGCCGGUGAGACCGUUUGCCCGCCAAGACGGAAUUUAGUCAGAGGUUCCAGGACCCAGGUAACCAUCUGAGAAGCGAGCUGUGGCAAUGAAGCCUAAGUUGAAGUAGUGUAAUACCACGAUAAACCCAGAUACUGGAGAGCAGGAUACCGUAGCGAUCUCAGCAGUGGGAAUGGCAGUCUGUGACGCAGCAGAAUCGUCAGACCAAUCACGGUAUGGUAGGCAAGCCUUUUUUAAAGGUCCCUAAGAUAGAUAGUUGGGAUAGUUAGAAAGAUAGACAGAUGGAUUAGAUAGAUAGACAAAAUACACAAACAGACAGACAGAUACACAUACUCUGUAUAUGUAGAGUAAUGUCUCACAAGUACAACAGUACCCCUCAAUUAUAGGUUUUAUGGUGAUUUGGAAAGUUACAUGGUCAAACAUUUUGCCAAUUUCUAUUUUCGUAAAUUUCUAUUUGCCAGAUUGGCUAUGUUGCCUUUGAAACCGUAUGGCAGCACAGAAAUGAAAAUUAACCCCACCGUGAUGGACCAUUUGAAAAAAGUAGACAGCAGAGGGUAUUCAAAACAGGGUAUGUCCAGUCUUUUGUAGUAGCCACUUAGUCACAAACACUGGCCAAAAUUAGCAUUUACCGUAUCUCACAAAAGGGAGGACACCUCUCACAUUUUUGUAAAUAUUUUAUUAUAUCUUUUCAUGUGACAACACUGAAGAAAUGACACUCUGCCACAAUGUUAACUAGUUAGUGUACAGCCUGUAUAACAGGAUAAAUUUGCUGUCCCCUCAAAAUAACUCAACACACAGCCAUUAAUGUCUAAACUGUUGGCAACAAAAGUGAGUACACCCCUAAGUGGAAAUGUCCAAAUUGGGCCCAAUUAGCCAUUAUCCCUCCCGGUGUCAUGUGACUCGUUAGUGUUACAAGGUCUCAGGUGUGACUGGGGAGAAGGUGUGUUAAAUUUGGUGUUAUCGCGCUCACACUCUCUCAUACUGGUCACUGGAAGUUCAACAUGGUACUUCAUGACAAAGAACUCUCUGAGGAUCUGAAAAAAAGAAUUGUUGCUCUAAAUGAAGAUGUCCUAGGCUAUAAGACGAUCGCCAAGACCCUGAAACUGAGCUGCAGCACAGGGAGCAAGACCAUAUAGUGGUUACACAUCACAGGUUCCACUCAGAACAGGCCUCGCCAUGGUCAACCAAAGAAGUUGAGUGCAUGUGCUCAGUGUCAUAUACAGAGGUUGUCUUUGGGAAAUAGACAUAUAAGUGCUGCCAGCAUUGUUGCAGAGGUUGAAGGGGUGGGGAGUCAGCCUGUCAGUGCUCAGACCAUAUGCCACACACUACAUCAAAUUGGUCUGCAUGGCUGUUGUCCCAGAAGGAAGCCUCUUCUAAAGAUGAUGCACAAGAAAGCCCGCAAACAGUUUGCUGAAGACAAGCAGACUAAGGACAUGGAUUACUGGAACCAUGUCCUGUGGUCCGAUGAGACCAAGACAAACUUAUUUGGUUCAGAUGGUGUCAAGCUUGUGUGGCGGCAACCAGGUGAGGAAUACAAAGACAAGUGUGUCUUGCCUACAGUCAAACAUGGUGGGGGGAGUGUCAUGGUCUGGGCCUGCAUAAGUUCUGCCGGCACUGGGGAGCUACAGUUCAUUGAGGGAACCAUGAAUGCCAACAUGUACUGUGACAUACUGAAGCAGAGCAUGAUCUCCUCCCUUCGGAGACUGGGCCGAAGGGCAGUAUUCCAGCUUGAUAAUGAUCCCAAACACACCUCCAAGACGACCACGGCAUUGCUAAAGAAGCUGAAGGUAAAGGUGAUGGAAUGGCCAAGCAUGUUUUCAGACAUUAAACCCUACUGAGCACCUCAAACAGAAGGUGGGGGAGCAUAAGGUCUCUAACAUCCACCAGCCCCAUGAUGUCAUCAUGGAGGAGUGGAAGAGGACUCCAGUGUCGACAUGUGAAGCUCUGGUGAACUCCAUGCCAUGAGGGUUAAGGCAGUGCUGGAAAAUAAUGGUGGCCACACAAAAUAUUGACACUUUGUGUCCAGUUUGGACAUUUACACUUAGGUGUGUACUCACUUUUGUUGGCAACGGUUUAGACAAUAAUGACUGUGUGCUAUGCUAUAUUGAGGGGAAAGCUAAUUUACACUGUUAUACAGGCUUUAUACUUACUACUUUACAUUUUAGCAGAGUGUUAUUUCUUCAGUGUUGUCACAUGAAAAGACAUAAUAAAAUAUUUACAAAAAUGUGAGGGGUGUACUCACUUUUGUGAGAUACUGUAUAUUUGUGUGUGAAAAAUGCAAAAAAUGAAUACGAACGCUAACUUUGGCAAGUGUUUGUGACUACUAGAAAAAACUAGACAUACCCCAUUUGCAACACCUUGAGUUGUCUACUUUUGCAAAUGGUAUGCCUUCAUGGGGUAAUUCUUAUUCCUGGGCUACCAUACGCUCUCAAAGAUAACAACCAAAUUGGCAAAUUUCAAUGAAAAAAAUGAAAUGGACAAGUCUUAUAUUUGACCCUGUAACUUUCAAAAACACUAUAAAACCUGUACACGGGGGGUACUAUUAUACUCGGGAGACUUUGCUGAAUAUAAAUAUUAGUGUUUCAAAACAGUAAAACGUAUCACAACAAUUAUAUUGUCAGUGAAAGUGCUGUUUGUGUGUAAAAAAUGCAAAAAAUGUCACUUUCACUGACGAUAUCAUCGCUGUGAUAUGUUUUAUGGUUUUGAAACACUAAUAUUUGUGUUCAGCGAAGUCUCCCGAGUAAAACUGUACCCCCCAUGUACAGGUUUUAUGGUGUCUUGGAAAGAGACAGGGUCAAUAUAGAGCUUACCCAUUUCAGUUUGCCAGAUUGAUUUGCUGGGUCUAUGUUGUCUUUUGAGACCAUAUGGCAGCCCAGGAAUGUGAAUUAACCCCAUCAUGGCAUACCAUUUGCACAUGUAGACAACCCAGGGUAUUCAAAAUGGGGUAUGUCCAGCCUUUUGUAGUAGCCACUUAGUCACGAAUGCUGGACAAAGUUAGCGUUCAUAUUAAUUUUUUGCAUUUUUCACACACAAAUAUAAAUGCUAAUUUUGGCCCUGGGCUGUCUACUUAUUCAAAUGGUCCAUCACGGUGGGGUUAAUUUUCAUUUCUGGGCUGCCAUACCAUCUCAAAGGCAACAUAGCCAAUCUGGCAAAAAUUCAUUGACAAAAAUAGAAAUUGGCAAAUCUUAUGUUUGACCCUGUAACUUUCCAAAUCACCAUAAAACCUAUACUUGAGGGGUACUGUUGUACUCGUGAGACAUUACUUUGUGGGGUGCUUAUGGUGUGCGGUGCAGUGCUUAUGGUACUCAAGGAUUACUAGGAAGCAGCGAUUGGCGGAGGCACCCGGUCCGCAACAGGGGUAAAUUAUAUUGGUCAGCUUCAUAAAUGUUCCAAAUAGGAUAUGGGUGCAUGAUGAGCAGCUGUGAAAAUCACAAGAUGGAAAACUGGAAUGCGCACCCUCCAAAUAAGGUAUUUUAGCCCCCAGAGAACCCGACACACCAAUACAUUGUCAGGAGAUGUUGCUGAACACAUACUGGGGUGUUCUUUGGCAGUAACCCUUAAGGUUCUCCAUACAUGUAUUCUUAAAUUGCUAUGUUUGUAAAAAAAAAUCACCAAUUAUUUUAUAGAUUGAUGGUAAAAUAGUUGCAUGAAAAGAGUCAAAAUACCCCACGUUUAAUACCUUAGGUUGUCUUCUUUUAAAAAAAUAUAUACAUGUGAAGGGUUAUUCAGGGAUUCCUGACAGAUAUCAGUGUUACAAUGUAGGAAAUAGCAAAGUGCUACUUGUACUUAUUGCCCUAUAACUUUCCAAAAAAAGCUAAGAACAUGUUAACAUUGUGUAGUUCUAAAAUCAGGACAAAAUUUAGAAACUAUUUAGCAUGGGUGUUUUUUGGCAGUAGUAGAUGCCUAGCAGAUUUUGGGGGUCAAAGUUAGAAAAAGUGUGUUUUUAAAAAAUUUUUAAAAAAAAUUCAUCAUAUUUUAUACUUUUUUUUAUAACAAAUUAUAUGAUAUGAUGAAAAUAAUGGUAUCUUUAGACAGGCCAUUUACUGCCAUGUGUGGGAGCAGUAAAUGAGUAAGAGGAAAAUUACAGCUAAAAACAAACACCGCCGAAAUCUAAAAAACAGCCCUUGUCCCAAACAGUAAGAGAAUUGAAAAGUGGUCUGGUCACUGAGGGGUAAAAAUAAAUAAAUAAAUCAAUAAAUAAAUAAAUAAAAGGAUGCCAUAGCAUCUUCAAAUGAGGUAAGCAUCCUGGGCACAUUUUCUAGCAGGCCUUGCUGCCAUCUACUGGCCAAGUGUGAAUUUGCUUCCAUUAAGUUUUCAACGUGAAUGUGGUUGUUUAGAAUCCGAAUAUUGUAUAUCUCAAGGGCAUUUGUAGGACAACAAUAUGAAAACAUUAUAAUUGAGCUCUUACAUAGAAAUGUCAUUUAAUACUGAAGGCAAUAUUCCUUUAUAUAUUAUGAAUUAUAAUGCUUUACAGAUAAGAUGAUAUUGUCACGAUUCGGGGAACCCAACACGCUGGCACACACACACACACAAAAGGUGCCGUACCGGACCUUAGAGUGGCCGGGCUAAGCACACACAGAAUAGUCAGGAGACAAGCCGAGUAAGGAGAACCAGAAGACAGAAUAACGUGAAACAAGCCGAGGUCAAAGGGUAGGAGAAAGUCACAGAGUCAGAUAACAAGCCAGAGAGUACGUAACCAGAAGCACAAGGUAAGUAGCAAUACUAGCAAGCAAAGACCACAACAGGGCAGGGAGGAACAGGAAAGGUAAGUAUUUAAACCAUAAGGUUAAUUCUGAUUGGAUAAUUUCCAAUCAGAAUUAACAAUCACACGUGGGAGAUAUCUAGACCUCCCACUGUGAUUAAGGCACUGUGCCUUUAAUGCCGGGUCAGGUGACUGACCCCAGCGUGUAUAAACCUGGGCGGUCUCCCAGCGUGCAGCGUCAUGUAUGCUGCCACUGGGGGACGUGGAGGGAACGGCUGGAAGGAUGCCGCUCGCCGGACCCACGAGGAGAAGGGGACCGCGGACAGCUGGAGGGUGAGUACCGCGAGCGGAGUGCAGCCUCCCCUCGCAGCCGCCCGCGGGAUCCCGGCAGAUAUGCUGGCAUUGUAGGCAAGCCCUGAUCCCAAUUGCUGAGGAGAAUUCACAACUCUUAAUUAGAAUGUUUUAUGUAAAUAAUAAGCAUAUUGGUAUGGCUGGAUGACGGCCCAACACGCAGUACUUGAACAAAAACUUUAGAUAGAAUAGGAGACAUGUCAACUUGAAGGUGCCUACUGCAGUCGCAGGGGUCGCAGUCAUGACCGGCCCGUCACUCCAGGGAAUACAGCUGCCCUAUGGACCCCUGUGACCGGGGUGCCUGCCGGCGAUGUGGUGCAGCCCUGGCCUACACGGUACAACUGCCAGGGCUGCACGUUCAGGGGUCCAUUGGGUGGCUUAUGCUGUUAGGGUCACCCAAUGCAAUGUAUUUCCAGGGGGGCGGUCAGAGCUGUAGCGCUUUAACAGCGCGACCAGGCCCCCUGUGAUGAGGUCAGAGCACUGGGAGGAAUUAACAGCCGGUAAGCAAGAGUGAGAGAGCACUGAAAGUCUCUCACAAAUCCCCCUAAACUGUCUCCAGCUCUGCAUAGCCAGUCUGGCAGGAACCAACCCACAAACUGAAGCUCUGCACCCCAGCCUCAAUCAGCUGAUCUUCCACACCCAAAGAGGAAGAGAUAACAUCAUACAUGGAGAAAGCUCACACUGCCCUCAGUAUCUACUGUCAGUGACUGGAACUUGUAGGUUUGCCCCGCAGCCCAUAACUGAUAGUGAUUGUGUGCUUGUGUGUGUGUGUGUGCUUACCAGUGCACUUAUCUCAUUGAGCUUGUGUGUGUUUAUAUGAGCUUGUAUGUAGUGAGCUUGUUUGAGUGUCAGUGAGCUUGUCUGUAGUGAGCUUGUUUGCGUGAGUGAGCUUGUCUGUAGUGAGCUUGUUUGCGUGAGUGAGCUUGUCUGAAGUGAGCUUGUGUGUGUUUGUGUGAGUGAGCUUGAAUGUAGUGAGCUUGUGUGUGUUUGUGUGAGUGAGCUUGUGUGAGUUUGUAUGAUUGAGUUUCUGCAUUUUUCAGUGAGCAGUCAGUGAGCUUGUAUGUAUUUACCCAUGAGUUUAUCUAUAGUAAGUUUGUGUGUGUGUGUGUCAGUGAGCUUGUGUGCUUACUAGUGAAUGUGUUUGUAGUGAGCUUGUGUGUGUUUGUGAGUGAGCUUGUCUGUGGUGAGCUUGUAUGUAUUUACCAAUGAGUUUAUCUAUGGAAAGUUUGUGUGUGUGUCAGUGAGUUUGUGUGAUUAUUAAUGUGGAUCAUGCUUUUAUAUGUAUAAUUUUCAGAACUGAUAUCGAUAUGCUGAUGUCAGCACGAGCAUGGAGGAUUGCCCUGGUUAGGUUAGGGAAGUUUCCCCAAGCAGGGCCAAUCACAACUGACAGGGGCGACCUGGAGAGUGGCGAUUACAGCACUGUAAAACCCAUGGAUCGUCUGAAACGAGAGGCUGCAGGUGUCAGAAUCUUACCUGGUAUGGAAUCCGACAUGCAGAGUUAAACACUCACCCUUGCAAAUAAACACAGACCAAGGUGACCUGGUAAGAAGCCACCUGGGCUGUGAGUAUAUGCACGGGGGCUGUGCAGGAAUAGUGCCCCAAUUCGCAGUACAGGCAAGGACAAGAAGAAGAGUAGUCACGGAAAGCCAAAGUCAGGGGAAGCCAGAGGUCAGAGGAAACAAUGAAAUAACCUAAGGUCGGAAGCAGUCUGGAGAACACUGGAUCAAGAUACACAAUAGGGAUGUGCAUGGGCAAAAAAUUAGGUUCCGUUUGGCACUUCCGAAAUUCGGGACUUUGGCAAUCCGGCACUUCGGCAAUCCAGGACUUCAGCAAUACGGGACUUUGGGAAUCCCCUAACCUUACCCCUAACCCUACCCCUAACAAUACCCCUCAGGGAGAAGCAGUGUCUUAUACCUGGCUAAUUAGGCAUCUGCUUCAGGUGGACUGAGAUUGACAGGAGCUGCCACAGGUAAAGUGCAACACCCUAGUGCUGGAGACAAGGCAAGGAUAAACAUCAGGCUUAAACAAGAACUGAAGUGUGGCUCAGAGGCAAAACAGCAGGCCCAGGACACAGAAGGAUCCAGGUUUCCCCCUGUUGGGCACUUCUGGCUUUCUGGAUGUAACGGUGAGAACUGUAACAGGAGGUAAGUAACAAUAAAUACACUGUCUGGCCAAAAAAAAAGUAGCCACCAAAAAAGGUCACACUCUCUAAUAUUUUGUUGGACCGCCUUUAGCUUUUAUUACUGCAUGCAUUUGCUGUGGCAUUGUUUCGAUAAGCUUCUGCAAUGUCACAAGAUGUAUCUCAGUCCAGUGUUGCAUUCAUUUUUCACCAAGAUCUUCUAUUAAUGAUAGGAGAGUCAGACCACUGCACAAAGCCUUCUCCAGCACAUCCCUAAGAUUCUCAAUGGGGUUAAGGUCUGGACCACAUGGUGGCCAAUCCAUGUGUGAAAAUGAUGUCUCAUGCUCCCUUAACCACUCUUUCACAAUUUGAACCUGAAGAAUCCUGGCAUUGUCAUGGAAUAUGCCCGUGCCAUCAGGGAAGAAAAAAAUCCAUUGGUGGAAUAACCUGGUCAUUCAGUUUACUCAGGUAGUCAGCUGACCUCAUUCUUUGGGCACCUAAUGUUGCUGAACCUAGACCUGACCAACUGCAGCAACCCCAGAUCAUAGCACUGCCCCCACAGGCUUGCACAGAAGGCACUAGGCAUGAUGGGUGCAUCACUUCAUCUGCCUCUCUUCUUACCCCGAUGCGCCCAUCACUAGUGGUUGCUCACUAUCCUUCCAGUUUUUAAUAAUGCGUUGGACAGUUCUUAACCCAAUUUUAGUAGUUUCUGCAAUCUCCUUAGAUGUUUUCUCUGCUCGAUAUAUGCCAAUGAUUUGGCCCUUCUCAAACAGACUAACAUCUUUCCCACGACAACGGGAUGUGUCUGUCGACAUGGUUGUUUAGGAAAUAAGAAGCUACUCAUUGCAUCAUUUGGGGUUAAAUAACUUGUUGCCAGCUGAAAGAUAAUUGCACAUGCAGUAACGAUCCAGUAGGAGGCUCUUACCUAUUUGCUUAGUUAAAUCCAGGUGGUGACUUUUGGCCAGGCAGUGUAUAUAGCAAUAAAAACCAUAAAUAUAUGAUUUAUCAGUGUGAUUUGUUAUAUAUUAAAAUGAACCUAUCAUGAGAGAUUUGCUUAAAAAAUUAUAAUAUAUAUACAUACAAAUUAAAAAUAAAUUGCACUCCAGGGACUUUAUCCAGCGUAUUCAAACUUAGCUUUUUUGCUCACAUAGAUAAAAAUCAGGAUAAGCAUACAGUGUAAACAUACAUCAAUAAAUACCAAAUACAAAAAUUACAUUAACUCACCCCACCAUGUGCUUGCUAUUCCGAGGACGCCCAGGCUGGACUGCACGCAAAGCACAACCGUCACAUGAUUACAUCACACCGCGUGAGUUCGUGCCUUGACGUCACUCGGCAUCAUUAUAAGUAUAUAUCAAAGAAUAAAAUUGCAAUUAGAAAAUUAUGUUCCUAAAAGCCCAGAUUAAUGUGAGCCGUGCUACUUGCACCUUGUUCAGUCUAAAUCAAACGGGUCAAACCCGUAUUAUCAAAAGUCGAUCGAAUGGAUCAGGCUUAGUAGUGGCAUGGGACAAGUUUAGUUGUAUGAACUUCACUCUUAAGUGGAUAGCUGACUUGAUUCACAUUCCGCAGGGGGUUCGAUCGCUGGAAGUGUUACAUGAUAUUUUGAAUCCUAUUUUAACCUUGACUCAAUAAAGCACUGAUUUUAUGGAUGACAGUGAGUGCAGCUACCUUUCUACUUCUCUCCAUACACACAUAUGUAUAUCUAUAUAUAUAGAGAGAGAGAGUUAAUAAAAUGUUAAACAAAAAUCUGCACACCAGUCAAGCCAUAAGACUAUGGGAACACAAAAAUAACACAUCCUAGAUCCGAAUGAAUUAAAUAUUCUUCUGAAAUACUUUGUUCUUUGCAUAGUUGAAUGUGCUUGUGAAAACAAAAUCACACAAAAAUUAAAAAAUAGAAAUCAAAUUUGUCAACCCAUGGAGGACUGGAUAUGGAGUCACACUCAAAAUUAAAGUGGAAAAACACACUACAGGCUGAUCCAGCUUUGAUGUAAUGUCCUUAAAACAAGUCAAAAUGAGGCUCAGUAGUGUGUGUGGCCUCCACGUGCCUGUAUGACCUCCCUACAACGCCUGUGCAUGCUCCUGAUGAGGUGGCGGAUGGUCUCCUGAGGGAUCUCCUCCUAGACCUGGACUAAAGCAUCUGCCAACUCCUGGACAGUCUGUUGGUGGAUGGAGCGAGACAUAAUGUCCCAGAUGUGCUCAAUUGGAUUCAGGUCUGGGGAACAGGCGGGCCAGUCCAUAGCAUCAAUGCCUUCGUAUUGCAGGAACUGCUGACACACUCCAGCCACAUGAGGAACCCAGGGCCAAUCGCACCAGCAUAUGGUCUCACAAGAGGUCUGAGGAUCUCAUCUCGGUACCUAAUGGCAGUCAGGCUACCUCUGGCAAGUACAUGAAGGGCUGUGCGGCCCCCCAAAGAAAUGCCACCCCACACCAUUACUGACCCACUGCCAAACCGGUUAUGCUGGAGGAUGUUGCAGGCAGCAGAAUGUUCUCCACGGCGUCUCCAGACUCUGUCACGUCUGUCACAUGUGCUCAGUGUGAACCUGCUUUCAUCUGUGAAGAGCACAGAGCACAGGUUCUCUGGAAAAUGCCAAACGUCCUGCACAGUGUUGAGCUGUAAGCACAACCCCCACCUGUGGACGUCGGGCCCUCAUACCACCCUCAUGGAGUCUGUUUCUGACCGUUUGAGCAGGCACAUGCACAUUUGUGGCCUGCUGGAGGUCAUUUUGCAGGGCUCUGGCAGUGCUCCUCUUGUUCCUCCUUGCACAAAGGCGGAGGUAGCGGUCCUGCUGCUGGGUUGUUGCCCUCCUAUGGCCUCCUCCACAUCUCCUGAUGUACUGGCCUGUCUCCUGGUAGCGCCUCCAUGCUCUGGACACUACGCUGACAGACACAGCAAACCUUCUUGCCACAGCUCGCAUUGAUGUGCCAUCCUGGAUGAGCUGCACUACCUGUAGCAGAGCGGCAAUAUUAAAUCCCACGAUCUCCGCUGGUACAGAAGGUAAUCCACAGUCAGCGCUGAAAAGUAAGGCAAUAUCCCAAAUCCCCCAGUAACCGGACGAGACACAGUUCUGGGAGUCAACUGAGGUUUUUAUUCACAGCAUCCAGUAUUUAUGCAAGUCCCCAUGCAAGGGGUUUCCCUACUGACAUAGCAGGGGUAAUACAGUAGGGGACUACAUGGGGGACUUCACAUUCCGACCUUUUCUCCCAUCAGGCACUGAUGCACGAGAGGGACACUCCCCCUGUUUGUUGUGGCAGGAUUUGUGUGCCGGCGGGGAGCCCGCAAGUGGAGGAGGUCGUGGACGGCGUCGUGGCGCAACCGCGCGAACGAGCCGUCAAGCGAGGCUGGAGGUGCAGGCUGCUGGUUCGGGAACCGAAUCGGAGACUGCCGAACGUUCGGGAGGUGAACGUGGAGGUAUGUGAACCAGCAAACUGGCGGAAACUGCCGAACGUUCGGGAGGCAAAUGUGGAGGUAGGCGAACUGGCGAAUGGGAGACAACUGCCGAACGUUCGGGAGCUGAACGUGGAGGUACUGUUACUGCCGGUUCCCGAGCGGGGAGGUGAAAGAACUGCCGAACGUUCCGGAGUUGAACGGGGAGGUAGCCAUACUGCCGGCCGUUCGGCUGCCGAACGUUCGGUUUUUGUGCCUUCUUUUGCAGAGAAUGAAGGAGAAGCGGCCGCAGGUGAUACGAGUCCUGGAAAGGGGCCUGGACAAGCACGGGCCAGUGGAAGAAGGAUGAGCGGUACAGCAGGCUUGGCAGCAGGUCACGGGAACGCUGGAAGCGCUGUUGGAGGAACAGGGACAACGGCUAUACACCGUCCGGGUGAGUCGACCUAUGACGCAAAUGCCCCACCAGUGGCUGGGCCAUGGGUUACCCCGGGGGUGGGCCCCGGUGUUGGCUUGGCUAGUGACGGCAGGGGGGGCAAGAGGCAGACAGGGGACGGCUAAGGCACGGAGUGGUACAGAGGGGUAUAGCGCAGCAAGACGGAACAGAGGGUCAUCGGGCAGUGGGCGGGAGCGCAGCGCUUCCCCUGGUUUUCCUAUACGACCGGGGAAGGGACGACGACAGGCGAGGCAGGUAGUUAGGGGAGGAUCGGAAGGGAGUGACAGCGACGAACAGCGCAGUAGGUUGGCACCAGCAAAGAUGACAGGGCGCAAGGCUAAAGCGAAGGGCGUGAAGCGCCGGAAGGAACCAGUCACAAAGCAGCCAUCGGAGGGUAGCUGACGUAGUUGACAGGGACCCCCGCGGGGUGGCCCACACCCGGGGAAGGCAUAGGGCGCCCCCUGUCGGUUCAAGGGGAUGGACGCAGCAGGACGGCAGUUCCACGAGCGGGAGUUCCCCGGAGAGGAGGCGGGCUGCUGUGCAGGCUCAUGACCCUCGGGGGGGGCGGCUAGCAGGGAGAUGGGGGACUGUUCCCAGGAUGAGAGGGGACGGGGCAGGGUUUCUACGGCCAGCCUACCCAGGAUGUCUUCUCCUUACAGGUUUCGAGGACGGUCACCCUCGGAGAGGGAGGGACCCCACGUGACAAGGACAAGCCCAGAUUAAUGUGAGCCGUGCUACUUGCACCUUGUUCAGUCUAAAUCAAACGGGUCAAACCCGUAUUAUCAAAAGUCGAUCGAAUGGAUCAGGCUUAGUAGUGGCAUGGGACAAGUUUAGUUGUAUGAACUUCACUCUUAAGUGGAUAGCUGACUUGAUUCACAUUCCGCAGGGGGUUCGAUCGCUGGAAGUGUUACAUGAUAUUUUGAAUCCUAUUUUAACCUUGACUCAAUAAAGCACUGAUUUUAUGGAUGACAGUGAGUGCAGCUACCUUUCUACUUCUCUCCAUACACACAUAUGUAUAUCUAUAUAUAUAGAGAGAGAGAGUUAAUAAAAUGUUAAACAAAAAUCUGCACACCAGUCAAGCCAUAAGACUAUGGGAACACAAAAAUAACACAUCCUAGAUCCGAAUGAAUUAAAUAUUCUUCUGAAAUACUUUGUUCUUUGCAUAGUUGAAUGUGCUUGUGAAAACAAAAUCAAACAAAAAUUAAAAAAUAGAAAUCAAAUUUGUCAACCCAUGGAGGACUGGAUAUGGAGUCACACUCAAAAUUAAAGUGGAAAAACACACUACAGGCUGAUCCAGCUUUGAUGUAAUGUCCUUAAAACAAGUCAAAAUGAGGCUCAGUAGUGUGUGUGGCCUCCACGUGCCUGUAUGACCUCCCUACAACGCCUGUGCAUGCUCCUGAUGAGGUGGCGGAUGGUCUCCUGAGGGAUCUCCUCCUAGACCUGGACUAAAGCAUCUGCCAACUCCUGGACAGUCUGUUGGUGGAUGGAGCGAGACAUAAUGUCCCAGAUGUGCUCAAUUGGAUUCAGGUCUGGGGAACAGGCGGGCCAGUCCAUAGCAUCAAUGCCUUCGUAUUGCAGGAACUGCUGACACACUCCAGCCACAUGAGGAACCCAGGGCCAAUCGCACCAGCAUAUGGUCUCACAAGAGGUCUGAGGAUCUCAUCUCGGUACCUAAUGGCAGUCAGGCUACCUCUGGCAAGUACAUGAAGGGCUGUGCGGCCCCCCAAAGAAAUGCCACCCCACACCAUUACUGACCCACUGCCAAACCGGUUAUGCUGGAGGAUGUUGCAGGCAGCAGAAUGUUCUCCACGGCGUCUCCAGACUCUGUCACGUCUGUCACAUGUGCUCAGUGUGAACCUGCUUUCAUCUGUGAAGAGCACAGAGCACAGGUUCUCUGGAAAAUGCCAAACGUCCUGCACAGUGUUGAGCUGUAAGCACAACCCCCACCUGUGGACGUCGGGCCCUCAUACCACCCUCAUGGAGUCUGUUUCUGACCGUUUGAGCAGGCACAUGCACAUUUGUGGCCUGCUGGAGGUCAUUUUGCAGGGCUCUGGCAGUGCUCCUCUUGUUCCUCCUUGCACAAAGGCGGAGGUAGCGGUCCUGCUGCUGGGUUGUUGCCCUCCUAUGGCCUCCUCCACAUCUCCUGAUGUACUGGCCUGUCUCCUGGUAGCGCCUCCAUGCUCUGGACACUACGCUGACAGACACAGCAAACCUUCUUGCCACAGCUCGCAUUGAUGUGCCAUCCUGGAUGAGCUGCACUACCUGUAGCAGAGCGGCAAUAUUAAAUCCCACGAUCUCCGCUGGUACAGAAGGUAAUCCACAGUCAGCGCUGAAAAGUAAGGCAAUAUCCCAAAUCCCCCAGUAACCGGACGAGACACAGUUCUGGGAGUCAACUGAGGUUUUUAUUCACAGCAUCCAGUAUUUAUGCAAGUCCCCAUGCAAGGGGUUUCCCUAUUGACAUAGCAGGGGUAAUACAGUAGGGGACUACAUGGGGGACUUCACAUUCCGACCUUUUCUCCCAUCAGGCACUGAUGCACGAGAGGGACACUCCCCCUGUUUGUUGUGGCAGGAUUUGUGUGCCGGCGGGGAGCCCGCAAGUGGAGGAGGUCGUGGACGGCGUCGUGGCGCAACCGCGCGAACGAGCCGUCAAGCGAGGCUGGAGGUGCAGGCUGCUGGUUCGGGAACCGAAUCGGAGACUGCCGAACGUUCGGGAGGUGAACGUGGAGGUAUGUGAACCAGCAAACUGGCGGAAACUGCCGAACGUUCGGGAGGCAAAUGUGGAGGUAGGCGAACUGGCGAAUGGGAGACAACUGCCGAACGUUCGGGAGCUGAACGUGGAGGUACUGUUACUGCCGGUUCCCGAGCGGGGAGGUGAAAGAACUGCCGAACGUUCCGGAGUUGAACGGGGAGGUAGCCAUACUGCCGGCCGUUCGGCUGCCGAACGUUCGGUUUUUGUGCCUUCUUUUGCAGAGAAUGAAGGAGAAGCGGCCGCAGGUGAUACGAGUCCUGGAAAGGGGCCUGGACAAGCACGGGCCAGUGGAAGAAGGAUGAGCGGUACAGCAGGCUUGGCAGCAGGUCACGGGAACGCUGGAAGCGCUGUUGGAGGAACAGGGACAACGGCUAUACACCGUCCGGGUGAGUCGACCUAUGACGCAAAUGCCCCACCAGUGGCUGGGCCAUGGGUUACCCCGGGGGUGGGCCCCGGUGUUGGCUUGGCUAGUGACGGCAGGGGGGGCAAGAGGCAGACAGGGGACGGCUAAGGCACGGAGUGGUACAGAGGGGUAUAGCGCAGCAAGACGGAACAGAGGGUCAUCGGGCAGUGGGCGGGAGCGCAGCGCUUCCCCUGGUUUUCCUAUACGACCGGGGAAGGGACGACGACAGGCGAGGCAGGUAGUUAGGGGAGGAUCGGAAGGGAGUGACAGCGACGAACAGCGCAGUAGGUUGGCACCAGCAAAGAUGACAGGGCGCAAGGCUAAAGCGAAGGGCGUGAAGCGCCGGAAGGAACCAGUCACAAAGCAGCCAUCGGAGGGUAGCUGACGUAGUUGACAGGGACCCCCGCGGGGUGGCCCACACCCGGGGAAGGCAUAGGGCGCCCCCUGUCGGUUCAAGGGGAUGGACGCAGCAGGACGGCAGUUCCACGAGCGGGAGUUCCCCGGAGAGGAGGCGGGCUGCUGUGCAGGCUCAUGACCCUCGGGGGGGGCGGCUAGCAGGGAGAUGGGGGACUGUUCCCAGGAUGAGAGGGGACGGGGCAGGGUUUCUACGGCCAGCCUACCCAGGAUGUCUUCUCCUUACAGGUUUCGAGGACGGUCACCCUCGGAGAGGGAGGGACCCCACGUGACAAGGACAGCAGAACAGUCGCCGGCAUGCAAGGCGGACCCGGUUACAGGACAGGCAUCUUCCAGGUCCCCCGCGGAUCAGGUGAGACCCAGCGCAUCAGGAGCAUGGCCCGGAGCAGCGGGACUCUUGGGGCAGGAGAUCCACGAUCGGUCAGCAACCCCACGGCCUUCGGCGGCAAGGGGUGCGGAAUGUGAGACAUGGUCGUUGCAACAGUCGGGGGAGCUGCUAGAUGACAUUAGGCAGUUAAUUGAUUCCUGGGGUGUAGGGAGAAGGAAGGAUGGUGAGUGCAGUCAGGUUUGGGCUUGGGUAGGAGAGGUCUCAGGGGCUUGUCCGGUGAGGGUUUCUGGGGCCGGAGGCAGCACAGUUGGGGACGGGGUGCGACCCCCACAGUAGAGGCGCCCGGGUUGGCGAGUGAGAGGGAGAGCUUAUCGGGGGCGGUAUGGCGGUAUGAUGAGCAGUUUCGUCAGCGCCUGGCUGCUAAUCUGGGGAUGCGGUGGGGUUAGUUUUGCGAGUAUCCGCAUACUCAUCCGCCAACUUGGCGGCCUCUGGUAGAGACAGGGGCCUGCGGUCUCUCACCCAGUCUUUGACAUCCGCCUGGAUAUGGUUGUAAAACUGUUCCAGGAGUAUCAGUUGCAAAAUCUCCUCCGCGGGGGCGGCCUGUCUACUGUUAACCCAGUUCGAGGCCGACAGGGAUAACUGGCAUGCCCAUUCCACGUAGGAAUCUUUAGCGGUUUUGCGUGAGUCCCUGAACUUCUGUCGGUAGGACUCUGGGGUUACUGCAUAACGGGCCAGGAGUGCUUCUUUAACCCUGGCGUAGCUAUGGAUCUCCUGUUCUGGUACAGCCCGGAAAGCAUCAGAGGCUUUGCCUGACAGCUUUCCUGACAAUAUUGAAACCCAUUCUUCCUUAGCUAUCCGGUGCAGGUUACAUUGCCGCUCAAAAUCUGCUAAAUAGUUAUCAAUCUCACAGUCUUUUUCGUCAAAAGCUUUAAAAGCGCUGAACGGAAUUUUCUUUGUAUCCGCUGUGUUGUACUCACUGUUUGGGAAGUGUGCUGCUGCCUGCUGGACCACUGCCAGUUUUAAUUGUAGCUCUGUGUCUCUUUUUUGAAGAAACCGUAAGUCAGAUUGCGUAUUAGUACUUUUCAAUAAUAUAGACAUAUAUUAUUGUGGCGAGCAUUUGGCACAAGACUAUAUAUACAAAAGACGUAUAUAUAUCAAUCAUCUAGAUUUUACAUUGGCUAGCCUGCCUGUCUUCUAUUCAAGUUUUGUUCCCACUUCAAGGGGGGAGAGAGAAGAAUCAAGUUACAAAGCUAUUUUGGAACUGGGAAAACAAACUUGAAGAGAAAAAAAGAAUUUAGACUGACUGUCAUAGAAGAACUGUGGUUUGUAAGAAAAAGAGUUUUCAAAUCACAAAGACUGUACAAGACUAUUUUCUACAACUGAGACAAAAAGCACAAGAUACAACAUGAAUUCUAGAAGCAAGCACGUGGCAGAGAUUGGCAAGCGUCCAGAAUCAAGCCCAGAACUGCGCAGCUGUGUGGAUGAAGCAACGAAAUAGACAGAGAUAACUGAUCUGGUAAAGGGUGACAAAUCCAUGUGGCAAUAAAUCAGGAAAGCAUGCCUUCAGACUACUGGACAUCGACUGUUGGAAAGAGACUUUUCAUCUGAUCUGCAAACUGUAAUGUAAGAUUCUACAGAGUUCAUUUGAUACAGAAGAUUAACAGACUUAAAAAGAAAUAAAAGAUUGACACUAACAUAAAUAUUAAUUUCUAAAUAUUAACGAAGAAAACAGACAAUGAAAAGUUAUUGAACAGUUAUGAGUAUUAAUACCAAAAGAGACUACUUAUAGCUAUAUAACACAUGGAGUACAAUUACGAAAGGAUAGUAUUAUAAAAAUAACUAUUACAUUAUUAUCUAUACAUAGGAUGAGAAGUAUGAGAGGUAGAUAAAAUAUGAAGUUGAUAAAAUAAGGAUCAUGGUUACUUAAUUCUACAAAGAUUUAGUUCAAUAGGAUUUCAUAGAUUAAUUAUAAUAAUUAAUUUGUUUAUAUCGAGGUGAAGCAAAACAAACAAUGGUAACAUAAGGAAGAAAACUAGAGAAGGAUAAUUUAUAUUGAUUAAUAUUAAGUAAUUAUAUACAUUAAGAAUGCUUUGGAUAUGAGUUCAGAGUUCCAAGAGGAAUUGAAUUGGUUUAGUUAAGAGUAUAGUACAUGAUUAUAUUUGACCUAAGUCUAUAAAGGUAUGGACUAGGGAGAAUAGGUUUCUGGAUAUGAUGGUAUCCAAUGAAUACGUUGUUAUAAGUUGUUUUUUGAUUACCCUGAGUUUGUUAGACACAGACUAGGAAUAAGAGUUUCUGGGCAGUAUGACCCCAAGUUUUGUUUAUUUUAUUUUAGUCAGUUGAAGUGUACUAAGGAAUACGGAUUGGUCAGAACAUUAGGACAAUCCUGCUUUUAAGAUGUAUUACAUUAAUAAGUCAUCACAAUGCUAAUGAAGAGAGUUGUGAUAAUUAAUUUACAUUAUUCUUUCCAAGUUAUUUUAAAGUAAACUAUGUUUCUAUUGAAUGAAAAGUUUGUUACUACAAGGUAGAAUAGUAGUCAAAAUUAUAAUUAUGUAAACAAAAACAAAUCUAUGAUAGAAAGAUUUCUGGGUGGAGAAUUUCUAGAACAAUAAGUAUUGUCAACACCAUGAACAUUAUUUGAAGAAUUAUUAUAGAACUUCAUGGUUGAUAACACAUCCUUUGAAUGAGACUUGUAAGUAGUGUUGAUAUAUUUCAGGUAGUGAGAGCCUACUGAAUAUACAAAUUAAAUACUAUGAUUGUAAAGUACUGAUACAAUUAUCACUAGGUGGUAUUAAUGGUAUAGGAAUGUAAUUCAUGAAUACAAAUGACCUAAAGAUUUUAAGGUUGCUAGAAACCAUAUGAUUCAUGGAAAUCUAAUUGGACAGGAUAUUAUAGUAAUACAUGUAUUAGAAUUUUAGUAAUAUCAGGUAUUGAGAAUGAAAAUACUAUACUAUAUAUGUGUCUGUAGGAAUAUGAUAGUGAAACACAGUUAUUAUUAUUUAGAAAGUUAUCAUCUUGAUUUUGUUAUCUACAAAGAUACGACUGUACCAGAGCAGGUAGAUCUUUCUGAUUGCUUUAUUGUUUAUUGGAUCAACAUUUGUAAAUAUUGUAUUCAUUUAUUAUUGUUAUAUAUAUGUAUAUAUUAUGUUCAAGUAGUUAUGAUGUAAUAUGGAUAUGGAUAUCAAUACAUAGCUGAAACAGAGGGAGUUUUGAAGUAAAGUAAGCAGUAUGAGGGAUAGAAACUCGACCUUCCAAGAACUCUCAUAUAAUAGAAAGUUGUGACUACAUCUUGUUCUAUGUUCAAUGACUGUGAUACAAGUGAUGUAUGAAUGGACAGGUUAGUGACAUUGUGUUAUGGUUGUAAGACAAACCAUAAACAGAGGGAAUGUAGAAUAUUGCAUAUCCUAUGGUUCUAUUGAUUAUAUAUGGAUGUGUGGAUUGACAUAAGUAACAGAUGGUAUAAGUCACAAGGCUUUCUUUGUCCGUGUAGCGUUACUUACCUUAACCGGGGGCCGGUCGCGGUCCUCUCUUCAAGCCGCGCGCGGUCCUGCGGCUGCACGAGCCGCGCGCGGCUCAUCCAGCUACCUCGGAUGGACGGCGGGCAGUGACCGCGUGAGGCGGUCACGUGUCCCGCCUGAAUCUAAGAGCGCGCCGCGAGUCUCGGGCGUGCUCUUAAAGGGACAGUGGGUGCCUAAAUUGGAAAAGGCAUCCCAUUGGUCCCUGUCAUGCCACACUCCCCAUACACUUACCUUUUGGGGGCGUGGAUAUGACAGGGACCAAUCAAAUUAGAUGUUUAGGUAUUUAUACUCACCUUCUUCCCUUUGUUCCUUGCCCUAUCGUGGUUUCUGUUUCAGUUCCCUUUAGCGCUUGUGGUGUUCAGUUGUGUUUUCUCGUAUUGACUUUGGCUUCGUAUUCUGACUUCGUUUUCGCUUUAUCCUUAUCUGUACUGUUUGCCGGCUUGCUGUUUUCCGUGUACCAGACCCCGGCUUGUCCUAGUUUACGCUGUCUCUCUGUGCCCUUGACCUCGGUUUGUUUCUGGCUCUGUCUUCUCUCAUAUACGUCAAGUCCGGCCAUUCUAAGGUCCGGUAGACGUAUCUCUCCUCUGUAUUUGCCUCUGUUUAGCUGGAUCCUGCGUGUAGGGGUAUAUUCUCGUUACAUUACGAUAGGGCCAUGGACCCCGCAGAUUUAGCUCAACAGAUGGCGUCCCAUGAGGCAAGAUUUGUAGAGCAGGACCACCGUAUGGAUCAAAUAGCUCAGGCUCUCCAGACGCUCCUAGCUAGAACCGUUCCAGCAACUACACCUAACCCUCCUACGCCCCUUCUCCCUGAAGUAUCUACUUUGCCUAAUACUUCGGCCCAUUUAACACCUCCUCCUAGGUAUGGAGGGGACUCUAAGACUUGCAGAGGGUUUAUUAAUCAAAUUGAAUUCCACUUUGAAAUGUAUCCACGUUCAUUUCCCACAGAGAGGUCUAAGGUUGGGUUCUUUAUGCACCAACUUACCGAUAAGGCACUUGAGUGGGCAAAUCCUAUUUGGGAAGCUAAUGGGCCUAUGGUACAUGAUUUCAACAGUUUUCUUACGGCUUUUCGUAGAACUUUUGACACAAUGAAAAGGUCAAAGAAUGCCGCAAGAGCAUUAAUGAGAAUUAAACAGGGUUCUAGGUCUGUAGCUGAUUAUGCUAUUCAGUUUCGCACUCUUGCUUCGCAGGUAGAUUGGACCAACAAUGGGUUAACUACUGCCUUUAUGGAAGGUUUGUCAGAUACGAUAUUGGAUGAGGUAGCAGCUAAGGAGCUUCCUAUUGCCUUAGAGGACCUUAUCGAUUACCUCAUUGAUAUAGAUAAUAGAAUUCGUGACAGGCUCUAUACCAAGAACAGGAAUAGACGUUUUGUUACACCCAUUAACCCCAGAGUUAAUCUACCAGAGAGUGUUAAAGUGUCUGAGGAGGAACCUAUGCAAUUAGGGGUUGCCAAACUCUCUGAUACUGAGAAAUUACAUAGGAGAAGGGAGGGACUCUGCCUAUACUGUGGUAGGAGAGACCAUAUGGUAAAGGAAUGUCCUUUACUCCCGGAAAACUCUCGCACCUAAGACCUUAUAGGGGACUGGCCUUGGGUGUGAUAUCUAAGUCUCCUAAAUUGCCUCCUAACCGCUUGCUUCUCCCGGUUUCUUUAUAUAUGGGAGAGUUUUGUAUAGUUGACGACAUAUAUGCUCUGGUUGACUCUGGGGCAGCUGAAAAUUUUAUAGACUCUGGCUUUAUAAAGAGAAACAACAUUCCCAUCAGAGAGAAGGAGAUACCCUUGGCCGUUGAGGCCAUAGAUGGUAGACCAUUAAGUUCUCCAGUUGUUACUCAUGAGACUGAACCACUACACAUGUACACAGGGGUUUUACACUACGAAACCAUUCGAUUCCAGGUUAUCACCUCUCCCUCUUCACAGUUAGUAUUAGGGUAUCCAUGGUUACGUGCUCACAAUCCCAUUUUUGACUGGGAGACAGGGCAAAUAAAAUCAUGGAGUAAGGCCUGCCACGAGUCUUGUACGUUGGAAGUCACACCUUUGAAUUCUAUUGAGGUACCUACCAGUCCUCCUUUGUCUAUGGUUAUACCCCCUCAGUAUUUAUCUCUAAAGACUGUUUUCGAUAAAAGGGAGGCUGAGAAAUUACCGCCUCACAGACCCUAUGAUUGCGCUAUUGACUUGUUGCCUGGCACUAUACCUCCAAAGGGCAGGGUGUACCCCUUAUCGGUUCAAGAAAACCGUGUCAUGGAGGAGUACAUCAAGGAAUCAUUAGAAAAAGGGUUUAUUAGGAGAUCCUCUUCUCCAGCUGGAGCAGGGUUCUUCUUUGUAUCGAAGAAAGAAGGUGAUUUAAGACCGUGUAUAGAUUAUAGAGGUCUAAACAAAAUCACUAUCAAAAAUGCAUACCCUAUACCUUUGAUUACAGAAUUAUUUGACAGGCUGAAACAUGCCACUGUGUUCACUAAAUUAGACCUUAGGAAUGCAUACAAUUUGAUACGUAUAAAGGAAAAUCACGAAUGGAAGACUGCAUUCAACACUAGAUCCGGUCAUUACGAAUACACUGUUAUGCCAUUUGGGCUUUGCAAUGCCCCAGCAGUAUUCCAAGAAUUUAUUAAUGAUGUAUUGAGAGAUUUUAUUCACACAUUUGUUAUCGUAUACUUGGACGACAUUUUAAUAUAUUCUGCAGAUAUAGACACUCAUCACAGACAUGUUACGACAGUUUUGAAGACCCUUCUUGCUAAUGGUCUUUAUUGCAAGCUAGAAAAAUGUCUGUUUGACCAAACCGAAGUCCAGUUCUUGGGGUAUUUGAUUUCCGCUAAAGGUUUUCGUAUGGAUCCCCAGAAGCUAGCUGCUGUAAUAGAAUGGCCUCUACCGCAAGGUCUGAAAGCUAUUCAGCGUUUUCUUGGGUUCUCCAAUUAUUAUAGACGUUUUAUCAAAGGUUUCUCGUCCAUUGUAGCACCUAUUACCCGUAUGACUAAAAAGGAUGGCAAUACUCGUGUUUGGUCUACCGAGGCACUUCAGGCUUUUGAAUUUCUUAAAACUACGUUCGCCUCUGCACCUAUUUUACAGCAUCCUGUCCCCUCACUGCCCUAUAUUCUUGAAGUUGAUGCUUCGGAUAUUGGGGUAGGUGCUGUCUUGUCCCAAAGAGAGUCGCCUGAGAAGCCAUUGCAUCCAUGCGGCUUCUUUUCUAAACAAAUGUCCAAAGCAGAGAAAAAUUAUGAUGUGGGUAAUCGUGAACUCCUUGCUAUUAUUUUAGCACUUAAAGAGUGGAGACAUUUGUUAGAGGGAACUAAGGAUCCUAUCCUCAUUUUUACGGAUCACAAGAACCUAUCCUAUCUUAGCGAAGCCAAAAGAUUGUCUUCCAGGCAGGCUAGGUGGUCACUAUUUUUGUCUCGUUUCAAUUUUAUUAUCACCUAUAGGCCAGGUGAUCGCAACACUAAAGCAGACGCUCUGUCCAGACAGUUCGAAACUACUGACAAACAGGAGAUUGAUGUUACUCCUGUCAUUCCCCCAGACAGGAUAAUAGCUACUACUGUUUUGUCUAUUUCCUCGUCCCUCUUGCAGACCAUACAAGCGAAACAAAGCAUGGCACCUAGCGAGAGGCCUAAUGAUAAACUGUUCGUUGAUGUUCCUGAGAGACAAGAUAUUAUGUCAUUAUAUCAUGAUACUAAGACCGCUGGACAUCCUGGUAUUUCCAAAACGGUGUCAGCUGUUUCUCGGUAUUUUUGGUGGGAUUCCUUACGAAAGGAUGUCACUGACUAUAUAAGUGCUUGUACUACUUGUGCCUGUAUGAAAUCCUCCCGUAGAGUUCCUUGUGGGCUGUUGCAUCCGUUACCCGUUCCCGAGAGACCUUGGUCUAACCUGUCCAUGGAUUUUAUUGUUGAAUUACCCCCUUCAAAUGGUAACACAGUAAUCCUGAUGAUAGUGGAUCGGUUCUCCAAAAUGGCUCACUUCGUGUCUCUUCGCAAGUUGCCCACAUCUAAGGAACUGGCUCAUAUCUUCGCUAGAGAAGUAUUUCGAUUACAUGGGAUUCCCAUAUCUAUUGUAUCCGAUAGGGGUAGCCAAUUUAUAUCCAGGUUCUGGAGGGCCUUUUGCUCAGAAAUGGGUAUUUCUCUCUCAUUUUCUUCCGCUUAUCAUCCCCAGUCUAAUGGGGCUGCUGAACGUGCCAACCAGUCUCUGGAGCAAUACCUCCGUUGUUUUGUGUCUCACCAUCAGGACAAUUGGUCUGACCUGCUUCCUUGGGCUGAAUUUGCUCGGAAUAACGCCACUCAUGAUUCUUCCGGCAAGAGCCCUUUUUACGUUGUCUAUGGCCAGCAUCCCGUUGUUCUUCCGGCUGCAUUCUCCUCACAGGGCAUGCCAGUUCUGGAUGAGCAUUUGGCUGGUUUGCGUAAUACUUGGGAGCAGGUUCAGCGUUCUUUGGUGGACUCUGCUACUCGCCAGAAGGCUCAGGCUGACAAGCAUCGCAGAGCAGCUCCGUCCUAUGUUGUGGGGGACAGGGUUUUGCUUUCCACGCGGAAUAUUCGUCUCCGGGUGCCUUCUAUGAAAUUGGCUCCCCGCUUCAUUGGACCUUAUCGUAUUAUACAUAAGGUUAAUCCUGUUUCUUAUGCCUUAGGCCUGCCUAAGAAUCUACGUAUUCCUAAUGUUUUUCACACCUCAUUGUUGAAACCUUUCGUACGCAACCGCUAUACCCGGCAUACUCCUCCUCCCCCUCCUAUCUCGGUGGAGGGUCAUGAGGAGUUUGAAGUGUCUGCUGUUCUUGACUCUCGUUUCCUUAGGGGUCGACUUCAGUACUUGGUACAUUGGAAGGGUUAUGGGCCUGAGGAGCACAGUUGGAUUUCGGCUGAUGCUGUCCAUGCUCCCCGUCUUGUGCGCUCUUUCCAUUCUCGUUUUCCUGCCAGGCCUGGUCCUACCCGCCCGGGGGGCGUGUCCUCAGGGGGGGGUACUGUAGCGUUACUUACCUUAACCGGGGGCCGGUCGCGGUCCUCUCUUCAAGCCGCGCGCGGUCCUGCGGCUGCACGAGCCGCGCGCGGCUCAUCCAACUACUUCGGAUGGAGGGCGGGCAGUGACCGCGUGAGGCGGUCACGUGUCCCGCCUGAAUCUAAGAGCGCGCCGCGAGUCUCGGGCGCGCUCUUAAAGGGACAGUGGGUGCCUAAAUUGGAAAAGGCAUCCCAUUGGUCCCUGUCAUGCCACACUCCCCAUACACUUACCUUUUGGGGGCGUGGAUGUGACAGGGACCAAUCAAAUUAGAUGUUUAGGUAUUUAUACUCACCUUCUUCCCUUUGUUCCUUGCCCUAUCGUGGUUUCUGUUUCAGUUCCCUUUAGCGCUUGUGGUGUUCAGUUGUGUUUUCUCGUAUUGACUUUGGCUUCGUAUUCUGACUUCGUUUUCGCUUUAUCCUUAUCUGUACUGUUUGCCGGCUUGCCGUUUUCCGUGUACCAGACCCCGGCUUGUCCUAAGUUUACGCUGUCUCUCUGUGCCCUUGACCUCGGUUUGUUUCUGGCUCUGUCUUCUCUCAUAUACGUCAAGUCCGGCCAUUCUAAGGUCCGGUAGACGUAUCUCUCCUCUGUAUUUGCCUCUGUUUAGCUGGAUCCUGCGUGUAGGGGUAUAUUCUCGUUACAGUCCGAGAGAUCUGGAAUGUGGAUGUGGGGGUCUUGUCCUUAUAUGGCUAGAGUUAAACGCUGACGUUAGUAUGAGCACUUCUUUAUAGUGACAGAGGACACAAGGUCACUCUCUCUUGGCUUGGCUCUUGGCUCUGUACAACGAUGUAACUCUCCCAUCAGAAGUACAGCAAUUACCAUCUGCUGUUGAAUGUCCAUUAUCCUGUAACAUCCUUUAUUAUGUUUUAUUAUGUAUCCGUAACUAAGAAUAAACCUGAAGAAACCGUAAGUCAGAUUGCGUAUUACUACUUUUCAAUAAUAUAGACAUAUAUUAUUGUGGCGAGCAUUUGGCCCAAGACUAUAUAUACAAAAGACGUAUAUAUAUCAAUCAACUGAAGAUAAGAAGAAAUUAAGAAGAUUCAACAUUAACAUUAUUCCAAAUUACAUUUUACACUUUUAGAAACAUAGAAACAUAGAAUGUGACGGCAGAUAAGAACCCUACGGCCCAUCUAGUCUGCCCAAUUUUCUAAAUACUUUCAUUAGUCCCUGGCCUUAUCUUAUAGUUAGGAUAGCCUUAUGCCUAUCCCAUGCAUGCUUAAACUCCUUUACUGUGUUAACCUCAACCACUUCAGCUGCAAGGCUAUUCCAUGCAUCCACUACCCUCUCAGUAAAGUAAUACUUCCUGAUAGGUCUCUUCGAAUUUUCCCGCUUCUUAGGAGAAGCAUUCUUCCAACCCCUUUUUGGCAUGUGGAUUGUCUUCACGCACCUUUUUUACUUUCUAUUCUUUUACUUAUGCCUCAGUAAUCGUUAAUUCUUUCCAUCGGUGUAUACUUUCUGUAUUUACCCUUUUCCUGCCGUUAGGCUAUGUUGUUUCUUUCAAGGUUCGUGCCUUCUCCUCACACAUUACGCUUCAUAAGAGUCAAGCCCACGCCUAGGGAAAGAGAACUGGCUUAUAUGUUUCAGGGCACAUGCAAAAUCUACGUGCCCCUCCAAGCUCUUUCCCAAGAAAUCACUUACGGAGGUUAAUUUGGAGAAUCUAAGCUAUCACUUACGCUUCCACCCCUCACCCCACUUGGUGGAAUUCUUGGUUUCUGGUUUUUCCAUAGGUUUUCACACAGGUCUAAUGGCUCUUCCUUCAGGCACACUGGAAUGCCCCAAUUUGUUAUAAGCUUAUUCCAAUCCCUUAACAGUAGAUACUCUACUGGAAAAAGAAGUCAAUCUAGGUUUUGUAUUUGGCCCGUUCUCUCAUCCACCAUUUUCAGUCAUGGCGCACGAAUCGCAUCAGUGGUGUGUCUCACAAAUCUUUUUUUUUUUCUUUAAAGUCUUAUCAUUGAUCUUUCUGUUGCUCAUUCCUCACACACACCAAGCAUAAGCUCUCUCAUCCCUGCUGUAGAAUUAGAGUCCGGCUGCUGCAGCUUUGAAGAUUUUAAGGGUUUUUCAAUUGAAUCCUUAAAGUGCCAUAUAAUUUUUAAUCAGGUAGGUGAUUCACACACACGCCCACAAACACAUGCUUCCUUGCAGCCAAUCAGGGAGCACCUUAGAUUAUAUAAACCUGUUUUGUCCAUUUCUCUGUGCCCUGUCGUGGUUUCCAUUGUGGUUAUCCGAGAGCACGUUCCUGGUAUUGAUUCUAGUGUAUUUGACCUUGGCUUUCCUUCUGACUAUCCAAUCUCUGUAUUCCUUGACCUUUGGCUUGGCUCCUGACUAUUCUGAUAUCUCCAUUCCUUGACUCGUGGCUUGUUCAUCGUUUACAUUAUUUCUUGUGUUUUUUUCCUUUAUAUGUUAAAUCCGGCCAUUCUAAGCCCCGGUAAUAUGUCUUAGGAAUUUUCUUCAUAUCUACUUAAAGGGACACUCGAGGCACCCAGACCACUUCUGCCCAUUGGAGUGGUCUGGGUGCCAACUCCCACCACCCUUAACCCUGCAAGUGUAACUAUUGCAGUUUUCAUAAACUGCAAUAUUUACAUUGCAGGGUUAAGUCUUCCUCUAGUGGCUGUCUACUAGACAGCCACUAGAGGAGACUUCCGUGUUCAUAGAACACAAAAAGUGUUUUAAAACGACGCUGGACGUCCUCACGCUAUGUAAGGACCUCCAGCAUUGCUGAAAUCCCAUAGGAAAACAUUGUAUAAUGCUUUCCUAUGGGGAGGUCUAAUGUGCGUGCGUGGCCAUUGCCGCGCAUGCGCAUUAGGUCUCUCCUGCCGAUGGCUGCGGCAGGCUGACGUCAGAGGGGGAGGAGCAUGGGCAGACAUCGGCGCUGGACUCUCGUAAGUCACUGGAGGGGUUUUAACUCCUUCAGCAACUUGGGAUGGGGGAUUGGAGGUAGAGGGGAACUAGAGGGUGUCAAGAAAAUAGUGUCAAGAAAAUAAAUAUGUUUUCCUGGCACUGGAGAAUUCCUUUAAGUUCUGCGUGUUGGACAUCAGCUAUUCCUGACAUUACGACAGGGCCAUGGACCCUGCAGACUUAAGUAAACAGGUGUCAUCUUGCGAAUCUAAGCUGGAGUAACAUGAUCACCGCAUGGAUCAGUUUGCCCAGGCCUUUCAGACAUUAUUGGCUCGCACUGCACACCUCCAAUCGGACACACCCUCUGCCCAGGCUUCACAACAUGCCGCUGUGGCAGUAUCCAGUGGUCAAAGGGCUCCGACUAUAAGACUAUCCCCUCCACCUAGAUUCAGUGGUGAUUCCCAGGAGUGUAGGGGUUUUAUAAACCAGAUAUAAUACCACUUUGAGGCAUCUCCAGGUUCUUUACCUUCUGACAGGGCUAAGAUCGGAUACUUAAUGAAUCAGCUAUCCGGUAAAGCUCUUGUCUGGGCUAAUCCCUUAUGGGAGAGUGGGAGAAUCAUAGUUUACAACUACAUGGAAUUCAUCACUGAAUUCAAGAGAUCUUUUGAACCCCCUGAAAAAGUUAAAAAGACAGCCAAGGCGUUAAUGCAGAUAAAACAGGGCAAUAGAUCCGUUGCGGAUUAUGCCAUAGAAUUCCGCGUGCUGGCGGCCGAGGUAGAUUGGACUAACAGCGGUUUGGUAACUGCUUUCUCGGAAGAUCUCUCUGAGGCUUUAUUAGAUGAAACAGCGGCUAAGUAUCUUCCGGAUUUGCUAGAAGACUAUAUUGUAUUGUAUAUUGUAUAUAUGAUGGACUGCCUUAGGGAGAGGGCUAAAACCAGGACACAGACUGUCCAUACCCCUGUUCCCUCAGCUCCUUGUAUGGCUCCAUCUGCUCCUGCAGUUGCCAUCGAAUCCAAACCUAUGCAACUGGGAGUGAUAAAGCUGUCAGAAGCUGAGAAACAAAACCAUAGGGCUGCGGGUUUAUGCCUGUAUUGUGGUAAAAAGGGGCAUCUGCGUCUAAAUUGCCCAAUACAUCCGGAAAACCCCUGCACCUAAGCACUGUUAGCGGACCAGGCUUAGGUGUUAUGAAAUCGUCCUCUACCUUGCCUCACAACCGAUUCCUCCUAUCUGUAGUAUUAUCUUAGGGUGCUCUUAACAUACCUUGUAAAGCUCUUAUCGAUUCAGGAGCUGCUGAAAGCUUCAUUGACAAGAAAUUUGUGAACAACCUUCUUGUUCCCCUGAGGGAGAGAUCCACACCUUUGGCCGUUGAGGCCAUAGAUGGUAGACCCCUUCUGACACCACUUAUAACCCAUGAGACCCUUCCGUUAUCCUUGUCUGUUGGAAUACUGCAUAGAGAAAACAUAGCUCUACAGGUUAUUUCAACUCCUUCAUGUCCUGUCAUUCUCUGAUUUCCCUGGUUGGUAAAACAUAAUCCGGUCUUAGAUUGGGUUAAGGGUGGUACUACCUGCAAAGAACGAUGUCGUCUCCCAGUUAAACCUAUAGGUCGUAUCAAUGUACCCACUACGGCUCCCUUAUCCACAGUGGUCCCUCUUUAACAUACAUCCAUGUUAAAGAAGUAUUUAACAAAACCAAUGCUGAGACGUUACCCCCGCUCUGACCUUAUGACUGUGCCAUUGACCUUCUUCCAGGUCACCUAAAGGACGGGUGUAUCCUCUAUCCCCCCAUGAGAGUGAAAUCAUGGAAGAGUAUGUCCAGGAUGCUCUUGCCAAGGGUUUCAUACCUAGGUCUUCCUCUCCUGCAGGUGCAGGAUCCUUCUUUGUGUCUAAGAAAGAGGGAGACCUGCGACCGUACAUCGAUUAUAGAGGCCUUAACAAGAUCACUAUAAGGAACAGAUACCCAAUUCCUCUUAUCACAGAACUAUUCAAUAGACUUAAGGGGGCUACUGUGUUUACAAAAUUAGACCUCAGGAGUACAUAUAAUCUGGUCAAGAUAAAAUAAAAUCAUGAAUGGAAAACCGCGUUUAAUACAAGGAGUAGACAUUCCGAAUAUCUCAUAAUGCCUUUUGGAUUGUGCAAUGCUCUGGCGGUUUUCCAAGACCUGAUUAAUGAUGUCUUAAGGGAAUACAUUAAUUUUUGUGUUCCAGUCUAUCUAGACGACAUCCUUGUUUAUUCCCCAGACAUUACUACCCACUACAUUCAUGUAUCUCAAGUACUUACAACACUGUUACGCAAUGGUUUAUAUUGUAAAAAAAGAAAAAUGUUUUUUCCUCCAGACAGAGGUACAAUUCUUGGGCUACAUUAUUUCAGCCAAGGGUUUUGAAAUGGAUCCCAAAACACUUGAGGUGGUCUUGCAAUGGCCCAGACCUAAAGGUCUUAAAGCCAUUCAAAGAUUCAUCAGUUUUGCCAACUAUUACCACAGAUUUAUAAAGGUAUACUCCUCGGUCAUAUCUCCCAUUACUAGUCUCACAUGUAAAGGGGCUGAAACCCAUGUCUGGCCUCCCGCAGCUCUGUCUGCCUUUGAGCAACUGAAAUCACUCUUUUCAACUGCCCUGGUGCUCAUGCAUCCUGACCCUUCCAAGCCUUUUGUAUUAGAGGUUGAUGGUUCGGAGACAGGGGUUGGAGCUGUCCUCUCUCAAUGUGAGUCCCAAGACACUCCAUUCCAUCUGUAACGGAACCGCUGGCACCCCGACCGGGUACCUUCCGCCGACGGAUGCUCCUAGUGCUUUCCGAGGACUUCAAGCACUCUGCCUGACACCAUAACCACUGCAGACCCCACGAACCGCCGCAGCUUGGUUGGGAUCUCGCCGUCUCCACCCACUCUGGACCCAGGACCAGGGUCCAGCUUCCAGCAGGUCGACCUCUCUCCCAAUUCCAGAGAGCAGGAACAGGAACAAGCUCUUAGCAGAGCUUAGUGAUUAUACCCUGGGGAGUAUAGUGAUUAUAGCAAUCCCCAGAGUGUAGUUUCUCCAAUCCCCAAACAUGAGCCGAAACUUCAUGAAGGUACAAGAUGAUCUGUUUAUUGGCACACAAAGAACCUUCUUUUAUGCAGGUCCCCAUGCAAGGGGACAUCCCACAGGGUGGGACACAGUACAACCAAUCACACAAUGGUUACAUCCCACACAUCUCCUCCCCUUAGCCUGAGAGGUAACCCAAUUAUCAAUACAUUUUAAAACACACUUUUUACCCAACUUUCAUAACUCUAACACCAUACAUCCAAUAUUAAAAAAGUCACAUAUUAUUAAUCAGCACAUCCCAAAUACAAACCUACCCAAAAAUCAUGCAAAUCCUUCCAUUAGUUCAAAAGUUAGUUAGAAGUCCUUUGUGACCAAAGGAAGCAUGGCUUUUCCUGCCCAAACCAGUUCCCACUGGUCUGGCAGUGUCCCUGGGACAACUCCCUGCUUGAGAACAAUAGACAGGAAACGGGGGAGGGGAAGAAACACACCUUCCCAUGGAUUCCAAUGGGAAGAAACUGGCUUUAGAAGCCAAUAAGCCCCAAAUAGUCUUUUUAAAUGGCAAUACACCCCAGGGCCAUAGUCACGAGGAAGGAGGCUGGCAAUCAGGCUCCUCCAAAAGCCGGGGGCAAAGGGCAGCUUGUCACCUAACAAUUCAGGGACAAAAGGCAUUUCGUUACACCAUCCUUGUGGAUUCUUCUCCAAAAAGCUAUCCCCAGCAGAGGUUAAUUAUGAUAUAGGGAACGGGGAAUUAUUAGCUAUAAUCCUGGCUUUGAAAGAGUGGAGAUACUUGGUAGAGGGAGCUAAAGUUCCUGUAAUGAUUAUAAUGGACCACAAGAAUUUGGCCUAUAUAAGUGAGGCUAAACGUCUCUCGUCUAGACAGGCUAGAUGGUCCUUGUUUCUUUCUCUUUUUAAUUAUAUUUUCACGUAUAGGCCUAGUACUCGUAAUUCUAAGGCUGAUGCCUUAUCAAGACAGUUCGAAACCAACUCUGAUCGGGAUCUAGAAGUUUUUCCUAUCAUACCAUCAGAACGUAUAGUGGCUACCACUAUAUUAACCAUGUCCUCCUCAAGGUGCAUAAUGCUCAAACCCAGGCUCCUGACAACAAACAUAACGAUAAAUUGUUUGUGUCACCUACAGAGAGAACAGAAAUACUCUCCUUGUACCAUGAUACCAAGUCAGCCGGCCAUCCAGGGAUUUGAAAAACCUUGUCCUCCAUAUCUAGACAGUUCUGGUGGCCUUCUAUGCAUACGGAUGUCACUGAUUAUGUCCAAGCAUGUACUGUUUGCGCUAUGACCAAGACCCCUCAUAAACUACCAUGUGGUCUCUUACACUACUCCCUGUUCCUGAAAAACCUUGGUCUCACAUUGCAAUGGACUUCAUAGUAGAUCUACCACCAUCCAAGGGACAUACUACCAUUUUAACAGUGGUAGAUCGUUUCUCGAAAAUGGUCCAUUUAAUUCCUCUCCGUAAACUGCCUACCUCUAUUGAGUUAGCCCAGAUCUUUAUUAAAGAAAUAUACAGAUUUCAUGGGUUGCCACAAGAAAUCAUAUCUGAUAGAGGGAUACAGUUUAUUUCACAAUUUGGAAGAAGUUUUGUUCUGAACUUGGGGUUACAUUGUCUUUUUCCUCAUCGUGUCACCCCCAGACCAAUGGGGCUACAGAAAGGGUUAACCAAUCUAUAAAGGGCUUUUUGAGGUGUUUCAUAUCACACAACCAUGACAAAUGGUAUGACCUCUUGUCUUAUGCUGAAUUCGCAUGUAAUAACACUACAUACAACUCCUUCCAGCAUAACCCUUUCUUCAUUACAUGUGGUAGACACCCCCUUGUUAUUCCUUCUCAGUUUCAUGAGACAGGAUUACCCACUCUUGAUUGCCACCUUCAUGAUCUUCAAGAUAGGUGGAAGCUCGCGCAGCGUGCUUUGUCUUUGGCUUCCUCUCGUCAUAAGACAAACGUCGCUCUCUGGCACCUAGUUAUGUUGUUGGAGACAGGGUCUGGCUUUCCACUUGCAAUAUCAGGUUGAAGGUUCCGACCAUGAAGUUCAUCGGCCCAUGAAGUUCAUCGGCCCAUGUUCAUCGGCCCAUGAAGUUCAUCGGCCCAGGAAAAUUAAUCCUGUGUCAUAUGCUUCGGUGCUACCUCCGGCCUUGCGUAUCCCCAAUGUUUUUCAUGUAUCCCUGCUUAAGCCCUUGUUGUGCAAUUGCACCAGACACUAGUUUUAUCCUUCUCUUGUGUCCGUUGAUGGCCAAGAUGAGUGUGAGAUUCAGUCGAUUGUAGAAUCCAGGUGAUCGUGGGGUGUGUUACAGUAUUUGAUUCACUGGAGGAGCGUUUGUGGGUUCCUGCCUCCGACUUUCAUGCUGCUCGUUUCCUGCGUGCUUUUCAUGUCCGGUUUCCCUAUAAGCCGGCCCCUUCCUGCCCGGUGGGAAGUUUUUGGGGAGGGGGUACUGUCAUGCCAGGUCCGAUCCUGUCAGAUUGCGGUACGGGUCCCGGGGGGCACGCAUCAUUGCGGCAGCAUUCCCACACGCUAAGGGGAAUGUUGCCGGUCUCUGACCUGUCCGGUCGCCGUCCACCGGGUCCGCUCAUACCAGGAAGCGGUCUGGAACGGCGGGCACAUCUUGGUCCGGUGGCAUUCCCACGUGGUUAUGGGAAUGCCGCCCAUCACUCACCCCUGGUGAUAGCUCCUCCUCCUCUAACAGUGGCCGGGUCUGUACAAAUUUUAGAGUCCGGCCGCUGCAGCUUUGAAGAUUUUAAGGGUUUUUCAUUUUAACCCUUAAAGUGCCAUAUCAUUUUUAAUCAUGUAGGUGUUUCACACACACGCCCAUGAUCACAUGCUUCCGUGCAGCCAAUCAGGGAGCACCUUAGACUAUAUUAACCUGUUUUGUCCAUUUCUCUGUGCCCUGUCGUGGUUUCGUUUGUGGUUAUCCGAUAGUGCGUUCCUGAUAUUGAUUCUUGUGUAUUUGACCUUGGCUUUCCUUCUGACUAUCCGAUCUAUGUAUUCCUUGACCUUUGGCUUGGCUCCUGACUAUUCUGAUAUCUCCAUUCCUUGACGUGUCGCUUGUUCAUUGUUUCUGUUAUUUCUACGUCUUGUCUUUAUCCUGUUUUGUGGUGUUUUUCCUUAAUACGUUAAAUCUGACCAUUCUAAGGCCCGGUAAUAUGUCUUAGGAAUUUUCUUCAUAUCUACUUACGUUCUGCGUGUUGGGCAUCAUCUAUUCCUGACUGUUGGCUUCUCCUUAAUAUCGUACGAUGUCCCAUGGUGAUUCACUACCUCAAUGACUUUCUCCUGGUAGAAACUGGUACACAGACCACUACUGCUUUUUUCACCACAUUAGGUAUCCCUAUUUCACCUGAUAAGACUCUUGGCCCCUCUGUGGCAAAAGGGACCUCGCCACUGGUUUUUGGAGGGGCCUGUUUGCCAGCCUCUUGCCCUGUGACUAUGGCCCCUCAGGUGUAUUACCGUUUAAGCAGUCUAUUUGGGCUUAUUAGAUUUUUAAAACACUUUAAUUCCAUGGGAAAAUGUGCCUCUUCCCCUCCCUCUUUUUCCUGUGCUAUUGUCCUCCAGCAGGGCGUUGUCCCAGGUACACUGCCAGACCCUCCUCAAUCUCUCAUCAGCUCUUGCUAUUGUUUAACCCCAUGGCGAUCCAACUGUAUUCGUGGGAUCUGAGUGCUUUUCGGACAUAUUGAGCGCUCAGAUCCAAGCUAUCUGGAGAUAUGUUGGACAUAUAGGUUAAACAUUGUAUUAUAUGAGUUAUGUAUUUUAUGUAGUUUUGUUAACAGUUUUUGGACUUAGAGAUAAUUUUCUUACCACAGCCACUUAAGCCAAUUAUCUCCAGGAUAGAGGAGAAGAUAGACCGGUCGCACAGCCUAAAUCUGUGGAACUGUUUUGGGCAUGAAAGCCAUGCUUGCGGUCGGUCAAAUAUGACUUCCAUAAAACUUUUGAACCCCUGCUCUGAUCUGGGUGAUUUUUUAAUAUGUUGUUCACCCAGAUCAGGGCUAUCCAUGUAUGGGGAUAUGUUGCUGUUUUGGGGUGUUUCUGUGUUUUGGGUAAAAACUGUUUAUUUUCUGCCCUUUAUCACAGGCAGAAGGGAGGGUUUGUGUGCAUUAGCUGGGAGUGUCUGAAUGUACUGUAUUGUGUUGAUUGGCUGUUGUAACUUUGUGUCCUGUGUACCACAAGGUCCACGUGGGUGGUAACCUUGUGGGAAAAUGUGUAUAUAAGAAACAGUAAAGCCACAGUUCAUUCUGUUCCUGCUUACACUCCAAAACUGUGUCGUCCUGUUAUUGGAGGGGAAGAAGAUUUGCUCCUGUGUCUGCUGUUCCAGCUUGCAGGAGAUUUAAGGGAAGAAGGCUUGCUCCUGUGUCUGCUGUUCCAGCUUACAGGAGAUUCACCAGGGAAAGUCCUUGUAAGGACUAGAGCUAAUUCCCCAUUCGGCUCCAGGAAGGAGCGGUUCCAGGGCCCCAGUCCAGCCACAGCGACUGUGGGCAGAAGUGCUGCGGUUUGUCCUCUGUUCCAGCUAGGAAGUGGUGCUUUGGCGGAGGUACUCAGCUGGGGUACAGGGAGCUCCGCUACACCCUCCACUAGAUUGGUGUUCCUGGGCGUCACCUUGCAGCUGUGCACACGUCUCUGUAACAACGUUAUGGCACGCAAAAUACAUCAACAAGGGGCGCUCAGCGUCCUUGACCAUUAUGAGGUGUUUGUCGGCUUCACCCCACAGCAGACAGGCUCCUGUCCAGAACUCCGCUAUUCCAGGAGCUUGUGAUGGACUAGCCAGUCUUCAUCAACGGCAGACAUCAGCUGUGGAAACCCAACGGCGCUCCUCGGGCCAUACCCCUUUCCAUAUACCAAGUAUUGGAGACGACCCCUAAGGAGAUGGGAAUCAAGCACAGCAGCCACCUCAAUAGAGACAAUAGAGACAGGAGGAGGGGGAGAAACAGGCCUGGUAAACUGGUUACAAAGAAGAGGUUUCAACAAGGAGGUGUGAUACACAUUGGGCACACGCAUGUUCCUCGGAAGGUCCAAGGCAUAAGAAACGGGUUAACCUUGUGCAAGAUGCGGAAUGGACCGAUAUAGCAGUGAGUCAACUUCAUAGAAGGAACUUAGAGAUGGAUAUUACGAGUAGAAAGCCUAACCCUGUCCCCCACAACAUAGAAAGGUGCUGCCCUACGAUGCCUCUGCCUUUUGACAAGCAGCAGAAUCCACCAGGGAAUGCUGAACCUGUUCCCAAGUUUUAUGUAAAGCAGCCAAAGGUUUGUCCAGAACCGUCAUACCCCGCAAAGAGAAUACAGGGAGAACAACAGGAUGUCGUCCAUAAACAAUGUAAAAAGGACUGUUACCGGAAGACUAGUGAGCAGUAUUAUUACGAGCAAAUUCAGCCCAAGGGAGCAGUUCAGUCCAAUCAUUCUGAUGGUGGGAAACAAAACAGUGAAGAUAUUGCUUUAGGGACUGGUUGGCACGUUCAGCAGCUCCAUUAGACUGGGAGUGGUAGGCACUCCCAGUCUAUCGGACACUAUAGAAUCAGGUAUGCCAUGUAAUCUAAAUACCUCUCUGGUGAAUAUAGCAGCCAAAUCUUUGGAAGAAGGUAAUUUGACAAGUGACACAAAAUGAGCCAUCUUAGAGAAUCUAUCAACGAUCAUCAAAUUAGAUUUACGAGGUGCAUAUAACCUGGUCCGUAUCCGUAAAGACGAUGAAUCGAAAACAGCCUUCAGGACACGGUAUGGGCACUUCGAAUAUCUUGUUAUGCCCUUCAGGCUCUGCAAUGCCCCAGCCACAUUCCAACAUUUUCUGAAUUACAUUUUACGCGAUUUACUAGAUUCCUUCAUCGUAAUCUACUUAGAUGACAUCCUCGUCUUCUCCUCCUCUUCCGCUGAACACCACGAGCAUAUGAGGAGGGUAUUUCUCCGCCUUCGUGAACAUGAGCUAUACGCUAAAUUGAGACAUGUCUUUUUGAUUCAGAAUCCAUAGAGUUCCUAGGAUACGUAAUCACUUCUGGGCAGAUUCAAAUGGAUCCUCGCAAAGUCACUGCUGUCUUAGAUUGGCCAACACCCAAAGACAAAAAAUCUGUACAGCGAUUCAUGAGAUUCGCCAAUUUCUACAGGCGUUUCAUCAAAGGUUUUUCCCAAGUAUGUUCUCCCAUAACAGCCUUAACUAAGAAACAGGAACAGUUUGCAUGGACCACCCAAGCUCAAGACGCCUUUACAAAGUUAAAAAAACUUUUUACCCAAGCUCCUAUCCUCAUACAACCCGAUACUACCAAAGCUUUCUCUACUUGAGGUAGACGCCUCCGAUAUUGCGAUUGGAGGAAUUAUUUCCCAAAGAAGCAAGAAAGACGACCAACUACACCCCGUGGCCUUUUACUCCCAUAAACUAUCGCCUGCAGAAAAGAACUACGAUGUAGGUGAGCGAGAACUUCUUGCUGUCAAGAGUACUUUAGAAGAAUGGUGCCACCUACUUGAGGGAGCUCCCUUACCCAUCACAGUAUACACAGACCAUCGCAACUUAGAAUACCUCCAGGCUGCCAAGAGAUUACGUCCACGCCAAGCCCGCUGGUCAUUAUUUUUCUCUAGAUUUAACCUACAGAUAACCUACCGCCCUGGAUCAAAGAAUCCCUCCAUCGGAAUUCCAUCCGCUGCUAAGACUGCCGCCUUAUUCCUACAAAAUAUAUUCCAUUUACAUGGACUGACUCAAUCCAUCAUCACUGAUCGAGGUACCCAAUUCACCUCUCAUUUCUGGACCCAUUUUUGUUGUCACCUAAGUAUUCAGCGCUGUUUAUCCUCAGCUUACCACCCUCAAACCAACGGCUAAACGGAACGCACCAAUCAAACCGAUCAAUAUCUUUGCUGUUUCACUACGCAUCUCCAGGACGACUGGCUAUCUGUACUGCUCACUGCAGAAUUCUCCUACAAUAAUCACAAACAUCAUUCCAUCAAGAUGACACAAUUUUUUGCUAACUAUGGUCUCCAUCCCUGUGCUUUUCCUGAACUCCCUUGUCCUAACACAGUGCCCGAUUUAGCCUCACGCCUGAACAGACUCACACAACAAAGACGUAUGUUGCAACAAACCCUGGAAGUAGCACAACAACGCUAGGAUAUGCUGACAAAAGAAGGUCCCUAGCACCUACCUAUGUGCCAGGGGACAAAGUCUGGCUAUCCACACAACAUAUGUGUUUGUCCUGUCCUUCAUGGAAACUGGGACAACGCUACAUUGGUCCCUUCACUGUUACUGAGAUCUUAUCUCCUGUAGCUGCCCGUCUCGAUCUUCCUUCCACCUAUCAGUUACAUCUGGUUUUCCAUAUAUCCCUCCUAAAACCCUGGAAACCCGACCGAUUCUCUUCAUGUAAUGUUGCUCAACCUACUCCAGUGGUUGUUGAUGGUUCCAAUGAAUAUGAGGUCCAAGAGAGCCUCGACUCCAGAUGUCGUAGGAGUCAUCCACUGGAAAGGCUAUGGUCCAGAGGAAUGAUCUUGGGAGCCGGCCAGGAGUGUCUACAUAGUUACAUAGUUACAUAGCUGAAAAGAGACUUGCGUCCAUCAAGUUCAGCCUUCAUCACAUUUGCUUUUUUUGCUGUUGAUCCAAAAGAAGACAAAAAACCCAGUUUGAAGCACAAUUUUGCAACGAGCUAGGAAAAAAAUUCCUUCUUGACCCCAGAAUGGCAGUCAGAUUUAUCCUUGGAUCAAGCAGUUAUUACCCUACAUUGAAAGAUUAUAUCCUUGAAUAUUCUGUUUUUGCAAGUAUGCAUCUAGUAGCUGUUUGAACAUCUGUAUGGACUCUGAUAAAACCACUUCUUUAGGCAGAGAAUUUCACAUCCUGAUUGUUCUUACAGUAAAAAAACCUUUCCUUUGCCUUAGACGAAAUCUUCUUUCUUCCAGUCUAAACGCAUGUCCUCGUGUCCUAUGUAAAGUCCGGUUUGUGAAUAGAUUUCCACACAAUGGUUUGUAUUGGCCCCGAAUAUAUUUGUAUAAUGAACGCACCUGCCAAAAUUAGAGCUUUCCACAGAAAACACCCUGGUCGGCCAAGCCUAUUUCGCACCCUAGGGAGGGGGCUCUGUCAUGGCCGGGUACUCACCUGCCCCUGGGCGCCCGCGCCGCCCUCGCAGCAGAGUUGCGGUACUCGCCGCUCCCGGAGACCCCCCUCCCGGUCUGUGGCGGCUUCUGUUCCUCUCACCGCCGAUGUCCGUGGCGAGCAUGCCGUCGCGGCAAGAUGGUGGCCGCCAUGCGGACCUGGCAUUCUACACAGGGAGGAGGAGGAGAGCUGCAGAUCCAUAGGGGAGGAACAGGUCAGGGAAUAUGGUGUAAAGCAAGAUGACGCCGAGUCCCUGACCUCUUUACAUAACCCCUAUGUGCUUCCCCUUCUGGUGGGAGGUGGCCGGUCAAGUGAUCCCAGCCACCUAUUUAAACCCAGCACACCUUCCAGUGAGUGCUUGGUUAUUUUGCUUAUUGCUAUAUACCUGCCUAUUGCCAUGAUUUUCAGUCUAUGUUCCUGGUUCCUGAUCCUUGAUUCCCCGGAUGAUUGCUCUUGCCUGCUUCCUGACCUGACUCCAGAUUGAUCAACUACUUCUGCCUGCUGCCUGACUGCUAUUUGCUUCUUCAUUCCUUGCUCCAGCUUCCUGGAAUCCUAGUAUACAUUAAAGGCCACCAUGCCACCACAGACCCUCUAGGACCCUGUCUCCAAUCCAAGGUGCUCCUAAGGGUUGUGAUAGUAAGGGAGUGCUGUUCCGCUGCAAUUGGGUUCCAUCUACUCCACGAAUUCCCCAGGUGGGUGUUAUAGAUACUCUUAAAGAUAGACCGACCUUCUGCAUGAAUACUGUGGAACUAAUUCUGGGUUGACUUUUGCUGAACGGCCCUGGAGACAAACCUUUACCCCAUGGCGUUCCCACUAUAUUCGUGAGAUCUGAGCGCUUUUUGGACAUCUUGUGCGCUCAGAUUGAAGCUAUCUGGGGAUAUGUUGGACCUAUAAAUUAAAUAUUGUAUUAUAUAAGUUAUGUAUUUGUAUGUGGUUUCUGUUAUAUAUUAAACUUUAGAAUAUGUCCUGUACCUGGAGAUAAUUAAGUUACUACAACUACUUAAGCCAAUUAUCUCCAGGAUAGAGGGGAGGGUACAGAAAGAUGCAAUUUGUUCUUAUUGGUUUAUGUCCCUUGUAUCAGGUCCAGAGGAGUGCGCCCCUGACCUGAAAAUGUGUAUAUAAGCAAUGCCUUUCUGCUCAAUAAACCAGACUUCUUACCCUCAACUCGCAGCCCCGACUCUUGUUGUAGGGAAAUGCUGAUGACUAGCUCUGCUCAGAGCUCCAGGAAUACUCUGCACUUGCAGGAAUAUCGUUAGAUGCACUUUGUACCGCUCUCCAGGAUCGGGGACAAGGACAUCCAAGUGGUCCAACCCUCAGUUAGCCUGGGGCAACUGUAACAACAUCUAUAAUAGUUUGCAAAGCCAAUAAAUUGCUGGAUGGCUUUCAAACCAUGUCUAUAACUGCAGAAAGCUUUUUGGGAUCCAUUUGAAAGCCAUUAGCAGAAACUAGAUAGCCCAGGAAUUGCACUUCAGCUUGGUCAAACAAACACUUCUCGAGUUUACAGUAGACGCCAUUAGCAAAAGGAUUCUUCAAAAUCUUUGACAUGCAUGUGAUGAGUAUGCAGAUCAGGUGAAUAUAUCAAUACGUUGUCCGGGUACUCUAUUACAAACAUAUGUAUGUACUUCCUUAAGACAUCAUUGAUAAAAUCCUGCAACAUUGCUGGGGCAUUACAGAGACCAAAGGGCAUAGUUACAUAGCUGAAAAGAGACUUGCGUCCACCAAGUUCAGCCUUCCUCACAAAUGUUUUUGCUGUUGAUCCAAAAGAAGGCAAAAAACCUAGUCUGAAGCGCUUCCAAUUUUGCAACAAACUCGGAAGAAAUUCCAUCUUCAGCCCAAAAUAGCAGUCAGAUGUCUCCUUAGAUCAAGCAGCUAUUACCCCACUAAUUAGAAAUUAUAUCCCUGUAUGUUGUGUUUUUGCAAGUAUUUAUCAAAUUGCACUUUAAAGAUCUGUACGGACUCUGAUAAAACCACCUCUUAAGGAAAUGAGCUGGAACUGAAUCAUUUCGGCAUGCAACAGCCCUGUAGACAUAUGCAGGGGUUCCAUUUUGUGAGUAAUCACCGGGGAACAUAAUGGUCUACCAUCUAUGGCAUCAACGGCCAAGGGUGUUUCCUUCUCCCUUACAGGUACCUUGUAUGACUUUACAAAGUUGGAAUCAAUGAAGUUCUCAGCCGCACCGGAGUCAACCAGGGCUAGAACUUUCCCUUUAUCUAUUAAACUGUUGAAAUGCAGGGAAAAAGGGAGGAGCAGUCUAUUUAGAAACGAACGUGGGGACUCUGAUGUCACACCAAAAGCUGGUGCCCUAUGCAGUCUUAGGUGCGAGAGUUUUCUGGGCGAACCCCCACAGUAAAGACAGAAUCCUUCCUUCUUCCUAUACAGUUUUUCAGCAUCAGUGAGCUUGGUAACCCCUAAUUGCAUAGAUUCUACCUCUGGUACAUUGGGAAUCUCAGGAACUUCAACCUUAGGCGUAACGGAUACUGUAAGGCGUCUAUUUCUAUUCCUGGUGUAUUGUCUAUCACAAAUUAUAUUGUCUAUAUCGAUGAUAUAGUCAAUAAGAUCCUCCGUGGCUAUAGAGAGGUCUUUGGCCUCUACCUCAUCCGAUAUAGCAUCUGGUAGACCUUCCAUAAAUGCCCGCUGUUUGUCCAAUCUACCUGAGAGGCCAAGGUAAGAAACUGGAUAGCAAAGUCAGCAACUGACCUGGAUCCCUGUUUGAUUCUCAUCAAUGCUUUAGCUGCAUUUUUAGCCCUGGGAAAAGCUAUAAGGAAACCUUGGAAAUCAUGAACCAGAGGACCAUUAUCCUCCCAUAUAGGAUUAGCCCACUCAAGUGCCUUAUCAGUGAGCUGAUGCAUGAGGAACCCCACCUUUGACCUGUCGGUGAGAAAGGAUCGGGUUGUGGCGGACCGCCUGGCAUCCUGACUGGGUGCCUCCACCAAUCGAUGCUUCCUAGUGCUCACUGAGUACUCCAAGCACUCCACCAGACACCAUAACCACCGUAAACCCCGCAGCCAGUGUUACAGCUUGGCUGGGCUCUCGCUGUCCUCCAUCCACCCUGGACCCAAGAUCCAGUUUCCUGUGGGUAGACCUCUCCAAAUCCAGAGAGUAAAGCAGGAAAGCUCUUACAAGAGCUAGUGAUUAUAAUCCAAGGGAGUAUAAUGAGUAUAGCAAUCCCCAGAGUGAAUAUAGCUGUUCCCUCCACACAUGAGAUGAGGCUCUAUGUUGAGGGUGAAGAAGAACUGGUUUAAUGGGAGCCACAUGCAGCCUUAUACGCAAGUCCCUAUGCAAGGGGUUUUCCAUAACAUAUUCCAAGGGCAUUCCGCACUGGACCUGAGUGGGGACUGUGACAAAGUACACACUGUAAUUACAUUGGCUCUCAGGUCCAGGACACUCCAAAACAAAACAGGGUAAUCACUCCCAUGUGCCUAAGAGAUAAUUGGGUUAGGCACUGUUCUAAACUCAAUUAUCUCCAGGUACAGAAAACAUAUAUUUUACAAUAACCCAAAAGUACCCCCAAAACACAUGGAAACCCCACAAAAGGGGGGUUAAGAGAGGCCACAGAGGGAGGGGUUGAGGAGAGACCACUAAGGGAGUGAGGGGGGUGAGGAGAGACCACUAAGGGAGGGAGUGGGGUGGAGGAGAGACCACUAGGGUAGGGGUGGGAUGCAAGGGACAGCUCUAAAAGACAGGGGGCAGGGGGGGCACCAAGGGACAGGGGGGGAUAGGAGAGAGCACUAGGAGAUAGGAGGGGAGAGCUCUAAAGGACGGGAGGGGAGAGCACUAAGGGACAGGAGGGGAGAACACUACGGGAAAGGGACAGGGGAGAGAACUAAGGGACAGGGGAGAUCACUAAGGGACAGUGGGGCAGGGGAGAGCUCUAAGGGACAAGAAGUGAGAGCAGUAAGGGAUAAGAGGGGAGAGAGGCUGAGGAAGGGGGUGUAGAGAAGCACAAAGGGGCUGAUAGGACUCAGCCCCUAUACUACCCCACAAACUCUAUCUUUAACACUACACACACCAUGCUUCCCUAUACACAAACAGAAACACACCAUGCGUCACUUACACACAGAGAAACAUACAAUGCAUCCAUUACACACACAAACACACACACUCAAUGCACCCCUUACACACACAUACACAGAAACACACCUUGCAUCCCUUACACAUACAAACACAGAUACACACAAUGUGUAAGAAAUGAUGACCCUCUUACAAAGUUAUUCUUUUAGGGAAUGUGAGACAAAUAAGACACAAACACAAGUGUAUAAUAAAAUGUAUUUUUAAAAUUGAUUUAGGAUACUGUUACAGAUUUUAGGAUAUACAUGUUACAAGUACCCUCUGUCUGCCGUGUUGUUACAAUAUGUCUGUUCCUUUCAUCUAACUAAACCACAAAGUAAUUCACUAUACUGUUCGUAUGCCGAACUACCAUAAGAACAAUAAGACUCCCAAGAACAGUCAUGUGUGGCCCAUUAAGGCUUGUUAACCUCUGUGACGAGACCAAUCUCGCCACAUUGCAUUGGAGAAGCCUGGUUGCUCGCCUGCUGCCUUUGGACUAUGGCCCCAUGUUAAAAGACUUUAUUUUCCCCUGCAAAGACAAGGUGCUUGCCCUGUUUGAGCAGUGAUACCCCAGAUAGCUAUGCCAUGGAGCCCAUUCGUAUAAUGAAAGACUAUGGGAAAGACUUUGGCUCCAUGGCAAUUGAACUGUAUGUGUAUGCUCUGAGUGCCAUUCAGUAAUAAUGUGCGCUUAGACCUAAGCUAUCUGGGCAUAUGUCUGUAUUUUAUGUCAUAAAUGUAACCUUGUGUAUUUUAUUGUAUUUUACUGUCCUUUUGCUGCCAUGUGUUCAAUGGAGUUUUGCCUCUGUCUUUGGAGAUAAUUGGAUUACUUCUAAUUAUCUCCAGGAUAGAAGACUCUGUGGAACUGGUUUUGGGCAGAAAAGCCAUGCUUCCUGGGGUCACAAAGGACUACGAUCUAUCUUUUGAACCACUGGACCAAUUUGUAUGAUUUUGACGUAUGUUUGUAUUUGGAGUAUGCUGAUUCUGAAAAUGUAAGUUUUAUAAAUAAAAUGAAUUUCAAGUUAUGAAUAAUGUGGAAGAAUUUAACCCCUUAAGGACACAUGACGGAAAUAUUCCGUCAUGAUUCCCUUUUAUUCCAGAAGUUGUGUCAUUAAGGGGUUAAUUUCUCUGCUUGUUCUAAAUUACAUUACCCAUUGUGUAAGGUAAUUGAAUCACAUGCAGAGGGGGGGAAUUUGUGUGGGAGUGUCUGAGUGUAUUGUAUGUGUUUAUUGGUUGUGUUCCAAAACCCUGUGGGUGGUACUAAUGUGUAAGAAUGUGUACAUAAGCACAAUAAACCCACAGCUCUGUCUGACCACUGCUUGACCCUCAACACGGAGCCUUGUCUCGUUCUUGGGGGGAUUCACUGUAUGCUGUUAGAGACUGAUUGCCAGGAGUGUAAGCUGAUUGUCUGCUUUUCCUGUUCGUCUGCUAGCAGCUAUUUGGGAGGUUCCAGUUCGGGAGUUGGAGUGCUAUUUUGUAUCCAGUUCGGGAGUUUGGUGUUCUGCAGUAGCUGUGCCUGUAUCUCUGGAAGGGGAAGAUCUCCUAAACGGCUGUUAACCCCUUUUUACCCCUUUUGUGCAAAACGGUCCGUUACAACCUCUUUCACCCCAAACCACCGAACAAAAUGCUGAACGACCGACCACCCUGCAUGUGGAGUGUGCCGCUUAUUAGCUUCCUAGAAGCUGCGGGUUGCGGUUAACUGCAGCUUAAUUGACGAACGGCUACGUGGUCGUCGUUCGUAAGAACAAACACGUGGCGGCGCCCAUUUUAAACUGCCGAACGCCCAGCGGUGUUUGUCGUCGACCGUGUGGAACUGUUUUCGGUUACUGUUUUACACGAACACCGCUGGGACCUACAAGCUAUCUGGGGAUAUGUCGAACAUGGGGGUUGAAUUAUGUAUAAUAUGAGCUAUGUAUUUUAAUGUGGUUUUGUUACAGUCUUAACUUAGAGAUAUUUUCUGUACCGGGAGAUAAUUAAGUUACUACGGCCACUUAAGCCAAUUAUCUCCAGGAUAGAAGGGAGGGUUUAGAAAAAUGCACUUUGUUGUGAUUGGUUCAUGUUACCUGUGUUUCAGUGCCCCACCAGGUCCAGUGGGUGUUCCCUCGCCUGGAAAAACUUGUAUGAGGGUGAUGAAUGUACCCAUUAAAACCAGUCUUCUUACGCCUCAACUCGCAGCCUCGUCUUGUGUUGUAGGGAAAUGCUAAUCACCAGCUCUGCUCAGACCUUCAGAAACCUUUUACACUUCCAGGGAUAUCGGUAGUUGCUGAAUUUGCCACUCUCCCAGCUCGGGGACAAGGAAAUCCAGGCGGUCCAACCCUCAGCUAACCUGGGGCAACCGUAACAAUUCACAUUAUAACCACAUCCAGUCCAAAACCAAAAGAUACAUAGUAAAAGGGAAAUACUUAAACAUUUAAAUGAAGAUCUUCCCCUUGCAACUGUCAUGGUUCUCACCACAACAUCCAGACAAGGUCACCCCAGAAGGGCCCAACAGGGGAUUUGAACCUGGGUGCUUUAUGGUACUCAGUCUGUGUUCAUGCCUCUGAGCCACUUGGUUCGUUAUUUGGUCUGAAACUUAUCCUUGUCAAGUCUCUAGCACUGGGGGCUGGACUUGACCUGUGACUGCUCCUGUCAAUCGUGGUCCAGCUGUAAAGCAUCUCUGAUUAGCCAGGUAUAAGACACUGCCUCUCGCUGAGGGCAGUGUCAGUUCAUUGGUUCUGCUGUCUGAUUCCUGUUUUUGAGUUUCCAAAUCGUUUGUUCCUGGCUCCUGACUUUGGCUUUCUUACCAUGCAUCCUCUGACUUUGGCUUACCAUUGACGAUUCUCAUGCUUGUGUCCUUACCUGUACUGCGACUUGGAGCAAAAUCCUGCACAGACUCACAGGCCAGGUGAAUUCUUACCUGACCACCUUGGCCUGUGUUUAAUUGCAAGGGUGAACAUAAAUCUCUGCCUACCGGACUCCCAACUAAGGUAAGCUGUGACAGCGCCUGCAUCUUGAGUAGUCUGGGACAGUCUAUCUCAGUUCACCAUGGCACCACUGCUUGCUGCGCUGUCCUCUCCAAAGGAGACAAAAAGAGAAAGAGAGGACCCUCACAUCCUUGGCUGUUCUUUUAAAGACUGAUUCUUCCAGUCAUUAACUACAGGUCCCAGAAUCCAUUUUCCAUCCCAAAAGUGGUUUAUCCCGCCCUCUUUUCCCAGAGAGUUGCAUCUUUACGCAAGUCCUUUUCUCUCGCCCCCGCUGACGCUGUACAUCUGUCACAUAUUCAUCCGCUUAUAGAAAUGUGGUUAAUGACAUUUACUGUCCACACAGGAAAAGUUGUGGCAAGCAGCAACCUAAUCCACAGAAGGGUUAAUGCUGAGCAGUAAUUGUGCAAAUUAAACCUGGUGUCAUGUAUUCAUCCGCUUAGAGAAAAGUGAUUAAUGACAUUUACUGUCCACACAGGAAAAGUUGUGCCGAGCAGCAACCUAAUCCACAGAAGGGUUAAUGCUGAGCAGCAAUUAUGCAAAUGAAACCUGGUAACUGACUUUGGGGUCAAAGGCCGGUUACAGCCUAUCAGAACUAAAGGAGGGGUAUUUAGGCCCAGUUCUCAGCCUGCUCAGUGCCCUGUCGUGGUUUCCCUUGUGGUUGUCUGAGGGCGCGUUCCUGUUUAUAGUUUUCUACCUGGGUUUUGGUUUUGACUUUGGCUUUGUUUAUUGACUUCUCUAUAUUCUGGUAUCCUGACUCCUGGCUUUCCUCAUCGCUGUGUCCCUUUCUGUGUUCCCUGACCCCGGCUAGUAUUUUUGACUAUUCUUUGUACGUUAAAUCAGGCCAUUCUAAGGACCGGUAAUACGUUGCUUAUUUGUCAUCCGUGCUGUACAGUUCUACGUGCUGGAUCAAACAGUAAUCCUGAGCACAUCCUCCAGUACCCCGUGCCAGACGCCUUUCCGGACUGCAUCCCUUCAGUCAGGGUGAUCAUCCUCCUCGAAUGCAAACGCUGUCCGGGAACUAGCUGGUUCCAUACCGCUGUAGGCAGGGGCGCUGGACGAAUACUAGCAUUGCCCUCAACUUGUAAUAAUCCAAACGAUUCCGGUGUCUCGGAAGCCGUCCCACUUCUGCCACCAGAUGUGGCGGACCACCUGGCACCCUGACUUGGUACCUCCGCCAAUCAAUACUUCCUAGUGCUCAACGAGUACUCCAAGCACUCCACCAGACACCAUAACUACCGUAACCGUCGCAACAACCAUUUGUUAUGGUGUAUAAUGAGUAUAGCAAUCCUCAGCAUGAAUAUAGCUGUUCCCUCCACGAGGCUUUAUGUUGAGGGUGAAGAAGAACUCUUUAAUGGCAGCGACAACUGGCCUUAUAUGCAUGUCCCAAUGCAAGAGGUCUUCCAUUACAUAUUCCAGAGGCAUUCCCCAUGAAACCUGAAGGGGACUAUGACAAAGUACACACUGUAAUUACAUUGGCUCUCAGGUCCAGGAAACUCCCAAACAAAACAGGGUAAUCCCUCCCAUGUCCCUAAGAGAUAAUUGGGUUAGGCACUGUUCUAAACUCAAUUAUCUCCAGGCACAGAAAACAUAUAUUUUACAAUAACCCAAAAGUACCCCCAAAACACAUGGAUACCCCACAAGUCAUAUCCCCUGAUAGCCCCGAUCUGGGGGUCCAACAUAUCCAAAAAUCACCCAGAUCUGUUCAGGGGUUUGGGAUUUCCAUGUAAGUCAUAAUUUUGACCAACCAUGCACAUGGUCCUAUGACCAAAACAGUUCCAUGAAAUCAGUACUAAUGGUUGGUCAAGUUUGGUAGUCUUUUACAGGUUUCCCUGCAGGGCUCCUCCAGGAUCUCGUGGCGAGGUUACUUUCGCCACACGGGUAUAAAUCUCAAAGUGGAAUUCCACUUGAUUGAGAAACCCCCUACAUGUCUUAGCAUCUCCUUCAUACCUAGGAGGAGGACGCAUUAGUCAGGAUAGAUGCCUCUGGAAUGGGAGGUACGGGUUGAGAUGGUACGCAUACCAGUGUCUCAGGGGCCGAAUAAGCAUUUUUGGACAAAAGUGUCUGAAGGGCCUGGGCAAUCUGGUCCAUACGGUGAUCCUGUUCUUAAAAUCUUGCCUCAUAGGAGGCCAUUUGCUGUCCUAAACCUGCAGGGCCCAUGGUCCUAUCAUAAUGUCACAAUGUAAUACCCCAGCACGGAGAGUUUAGGAUAGCAAGGGACAAGACUAGCAUAUAACGUAUUACCUGGACUUAGAAUGGCCAGACUAAACAUCAGUCAGAGAUAAAGCGUAAUCAGAAACGAGACGAGAUCAUGGUAACGGAGAGACUACGAGAACAAGCCAGAGUCAGGUAGAUGGUAAUCAGUCACACGGGCAAACAAGACAGGAAAGGGUUAAAGAUAAACUCAGUAUCAAAAACAAAGCCACGGUCAAUAACAAAAUAAACACAAUAGAACAAGGAUACUGACACAGAAACCACGAUAGGACAAAGUGGGAAGUUUAAAUAUCCUUUAACAUUUGAUUGACCCACGUCAUGCCUACGCCCAAAAAGUUUGUGUGUGUGUGUGUGGGGGUGCUGGAAUGACGUGGCCCAAUGGGAGCCUGAAUCAACAUUUGGCUCCCACUGCCCCUUUAAGAGCGAGCUUGUGACGCGAGCCGUGCUCCUAGUGUCAGGCGGGCCACGUGACCGAUCACUGGGGUCAGUGCAUGAAGCUCAGUCAGAAGAGGAGAUCAAGCUGCAUGUGGCUUGUGUGGAGGCAGGCGUGAUCCAGCCACGCGCGGCUCGAGCUUAGGGGCCAGGUCGGUCCCAGGAUAAGGUAAGUACAGCCACAACCACUUAUCCCAAUCACACACCUUUCCUAACGUCCUAUCCCAUUAAAAGCAUAUUACCGCGUAUUUAAUAAAACAGACCCCCUACUUCAUCCAGGUUACCGAUCGAUGGUUCGAUAUUCUGAGCCCUCUCUGAUUUACUGGACACGACUAUUCGAUAUUCCCACGAAUUUUAUAUAGCGCUUUAUGCUUGUUUGAGACCACCUUAAAAAUAUUGGAUAUCGCUAAAAAUCAUGAUCACUAUAUACUUUCUCUACAAAACUCUAAAACGAACCAAACUACUCAUCCAUCCGCUAUACCACUUUAUCCCACCUAGAACUAGUUCCCAGUUAAAAUACUUGACUCUUACUUACCCACACUCAGUCAUGCCACACAUUUCACCACUACGCUCACUGAAUCCCUCUGACAAAUGCAUUUCUACAUAAGAACACUACUCCUAAGAUUGGGUUGUAUCCAUGUCUCGAGUCUUUCAUUUAGAAUAGGGGCAGCUUCGGUCUUCUUCAACACUGACACUCCAGUGCAUAUUAUUAAAAGAUUGGGCAGAUGGAAAUCCUCAGUCUACAACCGAUUUAUAUUCCUCAUCCCGAGAAAGAAAUGAGGAAAGCGUUUAAAAGUUUGGCUUUGUAAAUUUGAUGCAAUAAGUGUGUUCUUUGUAUAAUAAACACAGGUUACUGGCUAUGAUGGGGGGAUAAUGUAUAAUAAACACAGGUUACUGGCUAUGGGAGGGGGAUAAUGUAUAAUAAACACAGGUUACUGGCUAUGGGAGGGGGAUAAUGUAUAAUAAACACAGGUUACUGGCUGUGGGAUAAUGUAUANNNNNNNNNNNNNNNNNNNNNNNNNNNNNNNNNNNNNNNNNNNNNNNNNNNNNNNNNNNNNNNNNNNNNNNNNNNNNNNNNNNNNNNNNNNNNNNNNNNNGGAUAAUGUAUAAUAAACACAGGUUACUGGCUAUGGGGGGGGAUAAUGUAUAAUAAACACAGGUUACUGGCUAUGGGGGGAUAAUGUAUAAUAAACACAGGUUACUGGCUAUGGGGGGGGAUAAUGUAUAAUAAACACAGGUUACUGGCUAUGGGGGGGGAUAAUGUAUAAUAAACACAGGUUACUGGCUAUGGGGAGGAGCCAGUGUGGGGAGGAGCUAUGGGAGGAGCCAGUGUGGGGGAGGAGCCAAUGGCUGGAGCUGCUAUGUGAUUUCCAGCCCCUGUAAUAUGACGGCUGGGAGCCACGCCCACUCCUUCAGUUCCAACCAAUAGCUAUACUUGUGUUUUUUUUCUUUGUUCCUCUUGUGCCGCGCGCUGUGAUAGGUAGCUUUCCGAUCACGUGUCUCGCUCGAUGUGUGACGUAUAGUAUCCCCGCCCUUUCGAUCCCGUGCCCUCAGUGCGAAUGACGUAUUUCCUGUGGAGCGCUGCAUUUCCGUUUCCCUGAGCUCAGUGACAUUGAAGGAGAGCGGACAGCGAGCUCGAGGUGAGAGAACGACAUCACCGCCCCCCAGACUGACCCCCAACAUCACCCCCCCACCAGACUGCCCCACUGUGACUGACCCCCUCCCACACCCUCCCCCCACCCCAGACUGACUCCCACAUCACCCCCCAAUAUCACCCCCUCACUCCCCAGACUGACCCCCCAAUAUCACUUCCCAGAUGACCCCCACAUCACCCCCCCAGACUGACCCCCAUCCUCCCAGACUGACCCCCAAUAUCACCUCCCAGACUGACCCCCAAUAUCACCCUCCCAGACUGACCCCCAAUAUCACCUCCCAGACUGACCCCAUAUCACCUCCCAGACUGACCCCCCAUAUCACCCCUCCCAGACCCCCUGUUCCCAGACUGACCCCCAAUAUCUCCCAGACUGACCCCCAAUAUCACCCUCCCAGACUGACCCUCACCAUCACCCUCCCCAGACUGACCCCAACAUCACCCCCCUCUUCCCUCCCAGACUGACCCCAAUAUCCCCUCCCCUGACCUCACCCAACAUCACCCUCCCCAACAUCACCCCCCUUCCACCUGACCCCCACACCCCUCCCCCACCACCAGACUGACCCCCAACAUCACCCUCCCAGACUGACCCCACCCCAACAUCACCCUCCUCCCAACAUCCCCCAACAUCCCUCCCAGACUGACCCCCACCCCAACAUCCCUCCCCAGACUGACCCCCCACCCCAACAUCCCUCCCAGACUGAAUCUCCCACCCCAACAUCCCUCCCGGACUGACCCCACCCCAACCCCCUCCCAGACUCACCUUCCCCAACAUCACCUUCCCUCCCAGACUGACCCCCAACAUCACCUUCCCUCCCAGACUGACCCCCAACAUCACCUUCCUCCCAGACUCCCAGACUGACCCCCAACAUCACCUUCCCUCCCAGACUGACCCCACCCCAAGAUCACUCCCAGACUGACCCAGACCCCCUCCAGACUACCCCCAACAUCCAGCCCCCACCCAAACAUCCCUCACCCAACAUCCCCCCCACCGACUGACUUUCCCCCCUUUGUAUCAACUCAUUUGCAUUCUCUAUUUUUUUUUUAGGCAAAAUGUCUGAAGAUAUCCGUCAGAAGAUUGAAAACUUCAAGACUGCUCCCUUUGAUGCUCGUUUCCCCAACCAGAAUCAGACCAAACACUGUUACCAGAACUACCUGGGUAAGGCUGCACCUCUUUUUAUACCAGAACUACCUGGGUAAGGCUGCACCUCUUUUUAUACCAGAACUACCUGGGUAAGGCUGCACCUCUUUUUAUACCAGCACUACCUGGGUAAGGCUGCACCUCUUUUUAUACCAGCACUACCUGGGUAAGGCUGCACCUUUAUUUAUUUUUCAUGCAGUAGAGUUUACAAACAAGCCUGUGGUGCCACGACAGCAGACACAGGCGGAUUAAUGCAGAGAAGGUCGUGACAAUAUACAAUUGCACAUUUUUUGUUAUUAGACAGGUUGUAUAAGUUAGUGAAGUCAUUGCGAUUAAAAUAAUUGUAUCGGCAAUUGUGAAAGAGUGACUAAUAUACAGAUUAUAAACUACGCCGUUAAAUUAUCAACAUGCUUGAGAACAUAUGCUGAACUAUAGGUUGUGAUAAUUCAAGCUUAGUAAGGCUGCACCUCUUUUAUACCAGAACUACCUGGGUAAGGCUGCAUCUCUUUUUAUACCAGAGCUAAAUAAAAAUAUAAAAUAUUUGAAAGGUUACUAAGGGAUAAUAUUCAAGAAUUCCUUGAGAAGAACAUGGUUAUCAGCAAAAAAUCAGCACGGUUUUCUGAAGCACAGGUCAUGUCAAACUAACUUGAUUGCGUUUUGCGAAGAAGUAAGUAGAAGUAUAGAUCAGGGUGUUGCAGUGGAUGUGAUCUAUUUGGAUUUUGCCAAGGCAUUUGAUACAGUUCCACACAAUACAUUAGUGUUCAAACUCAAGGAAAUCGGUCUAGAUGAAAAUGCUUGUUCUUGGCUAGAACAUUGGCUUAAAAACAGAGUACAAAGAGUUGUCAUUAAUGGUAAAUUUUCAAGAUGGACAGAGGUGGCAAGUGGUGUCCCUCAAAGGUCUGUUCUGGGACCCCUUCUAUUUAACAUGUUUAUAAAUGAUCUCGAAGACAGCAUUGAAAGUCAUGUUUCAGUGUUUGCAGAUGACACCAAACUUUGUAAAACAAUACAAUGUGAGCAAGAUAUUACUUUGCUGCAGAGGGAUUUAGAUAGACUGGGGAACUGGGCACUCAAAUGGCAGAUGAAAUUUAAUGUUGAAAAAUGCAAAGUUAUGCACUUCGCCGUAAAGAAUACACAAGCAACGUAUACCCUUAAUGGAAGCGAAUUAGGGAUAACCACACAUGAAAAGGACUUGGGAAUUGUUAUAGACAACAAACUAUGCAACAAUGUGCAAUGUCAAUCAGCAGUGGCCAAGGCCAGUAAGGUAUUGUCAUGCAUUCAUUCUCGGGACGAGAAUAUCAUUUUGCCUCUUUAUAAAUCACUGGUAAGACCACAUACUGAAUAUGCUGUGCAAUUUUGGGCACCUGUUCUAAAGAAGGAUAUUAUGGCACUAGAAAAAGUGCAGAGGCGGGCUACAAAAUUAAUAAUAGGAAUGGAACAUAUCAGCUAUGAAGAAAGGUUAACAAAUUUAAACCUAUUUAGUUUAGAAAAACGUCGCCUGAGAGGGGAUAUAAUAACAUUAUACAAAUAUAUUCGGGGCCAAUACAAACCAUUGUGUGGAAAUCUAUUCACAAACCGGACUUUACACGAGGCCAUGCGUUUAGACUGGAAGAAAGAAGAUUUCGUCUAAGGCAAAUGAGAGUUUUUUUUACUGUAAGAACAAUCAGGAUGUGAAAUUCUCUGCCUGAAGAAGUGGUUUUAUCAGAGUCCAUACAGAUGUUCAAACAGCUACUAGAUGCAUACUUGCAAAAACUGAAUAUUCAAGGAUAUAAUCUUUCAAUGUAGGGUAAUAACUGCUUGAUCCAAGGAUAAAUCUGACUGCCAUUCUGGGGUCAAGAAGGAAUUUUUUUUUUUUUUUUUCCUAGCUUGCUGCAAAAUUGUGCUUCAAACUGGGUUUUUUGCCUUCUUUUGGAUAAACAGCAAAAAUCAAAUGUGAGGAAGACUGAAUUUGAUGGACGCAAGUCUCUUUUCAGCUAUGUAACUAUAUGUAACUACCUGUGUAAGGCUGCACCUCUUUUCAUACCAAAACUACCCGGGUAAGGCUGCACUUCUUUAUAUCAGAUCUAACAGGGUAAGGCCAUUUAACUCUCUGCACUGACCUUGUGUACAGACACAUGGGUCCUGAAUAACAUUACUGUGUUUUGGUUAAUGAGUGACAAAUUUUUAUUGACGCUUUGUCUGUAUCAUGAUCUAAAGGCAUACUAUAGAAUCAAAACAAGUUUUGCUUAAUGAAGCAGUUGUUGUGUAUAGCUUAUGCCCCUAAGGUCUUACUGCUCAAUUCUCCUCCAUUUAGGAGUUAAAUAAUGUUUGUUUCUGUUUAUGCUGCCAUAGGCACACCUCCUCUGGCUGUGACUGACAUGGUCUGCAAUAAAAAAUGGUUUAUUUUUCAAUCCGAUGUUAAAGGACCACUAUAGGCACCCAGACCACUUCAACUUAAUGAAAUGGUCUGGGUGCCAGGUCCAUCUAGAAUUAACACUUUCUGCUGUAAACAUUGUAGUUUCUGAGAAACUGCUAUGUUUACAAAUGGGUUAAUCCAGCCUCUAGUGGCUCUCAUUGACAGUCGCUAGAGACGCUUCUCGCUGUGAUUUUCACACUGAGAAGAUGCCAGCGUCCAUAGGAAAGCAUUGAGAAUGCUUUCCUAUGGACUGGCUGAAUGCUCGUGCUGCGCAUUCAGCCGAUGACGGGAAAAGGAGGCGGAGAUUCCUCACCGCCGAGGGAGCCAGGCGGUGGAAAAAAGGUAAGAUUUAGCCUCUUCCGCCCCCUAGAACCUGGUGGGGGGACCUAGAGAUCCUAUAGUGCCAGGAAAACGAGUGUUUUCCAGGCACUAUAGUGGUCCUUUAACUUGCUUUAGAUGUUUUAUCUUCUGCUCUGUAAUUUGAACUUUAAUCACACAAAGUAGGCUCUUGCAGGUUCUAGCAAACUAUUGGUGCAGCGUGAUCACCGCAAAACCGUGAAAUGCAUUGAGUGUAUUUGCUUAUGUUCCCCAUGUAUUCUUGAUUUCUUGUGUGUUUUACCUGCUCCCUGUUCGGGAGACCGUGUACAAACAAAGUCCGUUCACCUCCGGAACGGGGACCACCCCAAUACACCAUUUAGAACAUUAACACCUCGCUAAUGAGGUAUAAAAAAAAAAAAACCCCGCAAGGGAAGCCUCGCCGCGUGUCGGCCCGUUCGUUAGAUGAACGCCAUCCGGGGGAGCAUGACCGUGGCUUGCUUCCCACCUCGUUCGGCUCCCGAACGAGGACCUCCCCAGAGCCCCUUGGAAUGUUCACACCAAUAAAUUAGAACGUUGGCAAUUCCCAACAUAAGUGUAAAACCGCAAGGGAAGUCAUUAAUGAGUGUUUCCCUGGGGGGCCGGCAUUCGUAUAGACGGACAGCGGCAAGGGAUGCAUUUGUUUCCCGAAGUCUUAUGCAGGGAGUUGUUGCAAGGGCUGCAUAAACAAAGCAACUUAAAUCCUAAACAGCAGAGAAAUGAGCAGUGAGACUGCGGGGGCAUGAUCCAUACACCAAAACUGCUUCAUUAAGCUAAACUUGUUUUGUCUCAAGUGUCCUUUUAAACAGGUCUUUGUCUUCUUGCUCUCAUGGUUGUUUGGAAAAAUGACUGUUCUAGAAAUAUAUAGGGGUAUAUAAAGAUCUAUGAAACAGUCUGUGUGUGUGUGUUUUUGUUUUGUGGUUUUUUUUAAUUUUUUUUUGUGCAAACCUGGAAAAGGGGGCGAGUUACCAAUGCAAUGCUUCUACAGGUUUCCGUUUUUUAUAUAUAUAUAUAUAUAUAUAUAUCUCAUACCCCCCCAUGCUCUCUUUAGUAAAUCUUGUAGAUGUCACAAUGUAUGUCUCUAUUGCUUUAAGGACAGACAUUUCAGUAUUGUAGGGAAGUAUUAGGGUGAACUAUACACAGUGGUGUGUGGCUAGAUUACAAUUAAUACCUUCCUGAAUAGUUAGAGCUGGUCUGUGUGCUUGAUCCCUACAUAGCAUUCAUACACUACGUUACUGCCAUAUGCUGCUUAAUUGAUCAGUUUCCUUUUCUGGGUUCUACUCCCAUGUCGUCCGGAUUGGACACAGAUCAAACCUGCUUUAACAAAACGCGCACUCAAUCUUUCCAAAAUGCGUUGGUCAUUGUGGUUUUUUUUUUUUUUUAUUCUGUGUUUGUGGAUGGUAUGAGCCAGCGUCAAACACUUCCACGACGGCAUUUAUUUAUUUUUUAUUUUAUUUACUUUUUUCAACCAUUUCAUUUCCACACUAUGACUUCUGUUGGCUUGCUUGUUGGUUUCUUGAAUGAACUACAUACUGCCUGUGGACAUGGAUAAAUGUCAUUAUGUUAGAGCUUGAAAUGUAACUUACUCCUUAUGACUUUAAUACGUAGAUACACAUUUGCAUAUAUGGUAAAAAAGAGGAGUGAGAUAGCGCUAAGUAACUAUAGGCAGCGACCUUAAAAGGGAAUCCCUCAAACCCUUUAAAACAGAAUACAAUAAAAACAAUAAAAGGCUGCGCACAAAAGAUAAAUAAAGUCCAAUUAGAGUAAAAUACAAACAAGGACAUCAGUAAGAAAAAACCAUUUGGACUUAUUUUUAUUUUACUCUAAUUGGACUUUAUUUAUCUUUUGUGCGCAGCCUUUUAUUGUUUUUAUUACAUUUGCAUAUAUGUAUUUUAGCGCUUUUUAAAUUUUAUUUUAAUUUAGAUUUUUUUUUAAAGUAACACUUGACUCAGUUACAUAGUUACAUUAUAGACUCACUAUAGUGGUUAUAGUGCCAGGAAUAUACUGGCUCUCUCUCCUUUCCCCCACAUUUUUAAAGAUCCAUUGGAGUUUGCCUGGUGCUGCUCCAUGCUUCAUAUGGAGAGCAGGAAGAUCCUACAGGAGCGUCUGUUAGCUCUUCUAAAUUAAGCACUGCAAUGCAAAUCUUAGCUCAUUGUAAACAUCAGCCAACAAGCUUUUCUCUGCACUGCUGGGCUAAGCUUCUGGCUUUCUGUAGGAAGUUAAAUCGUUCUAAGAUGAUUUGGCAAAGCUAUGCACUAGGUACAUGUUUAGACAUGGGUCACAGCCCUUGAGGCUGGUUUGCAAUUUUUUGGGGGGUGAAGACUGGCAACUGGCAGGAGAUAGGAGGGAAGGGAUGGUAGCAUUUAUAGGAUUCAAGAGGUGAUAUUACACUUAUUGUAUAUGCCAAAUUGCAAAGUUACUAUAGUUCAAACUGUUAGAUAUGCUGUGCCUGCACUGACUGCUGUACUUUAAUGGAACACCAAGCCCCAUUGACAUGCUGAAUAUGGAUUUUGGUGUCGUCCUACUGGUUUUAUCACUGUUUUCGAGUGGAUUAACAGAACUAAUCCUUGCCUGGCACCCAAAGCCCACUUCCUUUGAUAGGGUAAUGAGUGUUCACUCUGCCCAAAAGAUGGGUAGUGAUAGACUGGGGGUGACUUGCCUAUUAGCAAAUUAGGUGGAAUGAUAUAUAUAUUUUUAAUCAAACAUAGUCUGUUCAUUUUAUUAACAAUUCAAUCAAUCUGCUAUUCCUUUUUUUUUUUUUUUGUACAGUCUUGAAUGUAAGCAAAUGUUCUGUUUGUGAGUAGACACGUGUGAUAUUGUUUGCUCUUUGUGGCCUCUAUGCAUCCCUAUUCUCCCAGAACGAGAUGUUUAAUACUUGUGACUUAACCCUAGUUAAACUACCAUAAAGGAUGAAUAAAUGUCACUUUCUGAAUAUACAUAUUUUUCCUUUUUAAGAUUAUCAUCGCUGUAAUAAGUCUCUGACCUCCAAAGGAAAGGACCCAUAUCCCUGCGAAUAUUAUGCACGUGUUUAUAAAACAAUGUGUCUCAACUCAUGGGUAAGAAAUCUUUUUUUUUUCUCUUUAAUUUAGUUCUUAAGAGAUUGCGGAGUAGAAUUACAACAUCUGGAGUGAUACAAACUGAGGGAGUAUUGUGCCAAUGGCAACCUAUUAAUAAUUGUAAAUGUGUUCUAGCGGUUUGUCCCUCCAGUGUGUCCUGGAAACUGUACGUGUAAGGCCCACUUAUCAAUAACUUGCUAUGCUGCUAAAUUAAAACAAAACCAAAGAUUUAUUGAUUUUGUAGAUAUUCAUGUCGGUCUGUUAAGUAGUUUGUAUUCUGUUGAAAUAGUCGAAAGACUCCGUUUAAUUAAUAUGGCCUUUCCAUAUUCCAAUACAUAAGCCAUUCUCCUAAAACAAACCAUGCUUGAAGCCUAACUGAUUUGUAGUGUCUGUGUACAGAAUAUGUGGCUCUAAAAACGACUGCAGCAAUUGGAGAUUCCUGGCUCAGCCUUAUACUUUGAACACUGUUUUUGUUUGCAGGUGGAAAGAUGGGACGAGCAGGUAGAGGCUGGCACAUUCGCAGGCAAAAUCUAAGUGAUUCCAUGCUCCCUUCAGUAAUGACCUAACUGUACCUGGUAAUACUGGAGACUCCUCAAUUCCUGAAUACAAUGUCUGCUCCAGGAAGUUCUUUUGCUUGUUUUCCAUGUGAAACAAGGUGUAUCUGUUCUGAGAUGGGACAUUCAGAUAAUAUUCCUUUAUAUGUCAAUAAAGACUCUUGAACAAUUAAUCUACAGAUUCUUUACUACAUCUAUGUACAUAAAAU